AGAUACUCCAAAUGUUGAAGCUUUCCAAUGGCUUUUGGGACUCUCUCCACUCUCGUACCCCAUAGGUCCAGAUGCUUGAGAUGAAACAUCUUGAAAAUCUCAUUUGGUAUUUCCUCCUGUGUCUCUUGACCUCUCAAAUCCAAAACCUUUAACAACUUGCUACUCCCUAAAACUUCAGAUAACAACAUUUUGGAUAGUAGCGGGCUUAUGGAUUCAAAUGUAACGAACGACCGAAGGUGGUCAAAGCAAUAAUUUCGUCUUUGUUGGUGGUGCGGGGUGUUGUUACUGCUACCACUAUGGACUACUAGACGGCGUACCUUAUCAGUCGGCCACAUCAUCGGCUGUCCAGUAGUAACUGUCACCAUGUUUUGUUCCCUUGACUUGAGAAGAAUAACUUCUCUUAAUAGGUCAUGGAUUCGACAAUAUUGAGGUAUUCCUUCAAAAAACACCUUAGUCACUUGAAUUAGGCUUCUAUUGACGAGUUCAAUGAGAUAACUCCAAGCUACAAUUGCAAAACUCAUUCCUUCCCUCCGUUCCACAUACCUUUCAGCAAUCCACAAAUGAAUUAGUCUAAUGCAUGCUAUUUCAUAAUCCUCUGGGAAGAUGCUUGUGUACAACAGACAUGUCUUUAAAUGCCCAGGCAAAUCAUUAUAACUGAGAGAGAGUAUCUUUUUAACUCUGUCCAGCUUACCCGUGCCUUCUAAUUCACCCCCAAGGCUGCGUCGAACCAUCUCCCAUUCGUCUAUUCUGUUUACAUCUUUUGAAGCCAAAAGCCCGCUGAUUGCAAGGGGCAAGCCCUCACAUUUGUCCAAUAUACCUUUGGAAACAUCCAUCAAAUGGCCAGGGCAAUUACCACCAUUAAAGAUCUUGUUGCAAAACAGGGUCCUCGAAUCCUUUACAGAGAGUGGCUCCAUUCUGUAGACAAGACCCCGAGAUUCAAUGCAAGAGGCAGAGGCUACAUCAGCUCUUCGAGUUGUUAGCAUGACACGGUUGCCGUGGCUACUCUCGGGCAGUGCAAAUUUGAUGGUAUUCCAAAAUUCCACGUCCCAUACAUCAUCAAAAACAAUCGCAUACCUUCCAGCUUGUUGAAGAAAAUCUUUGACAAUUUUUUUCAGCUCAGUGGUAGUCAUAGACUCUAUCGAUUGUGGGACUGGUUUAUUCCCUUCCUUGUGUAACUGCUGAAUCAAGUCUUUCAGGAGGUACUGAAAGUCACAUGUUUCAGAGACAGUUACCCAAGCACGAACUGGGAAAUGCCUUCUGACUUCAGGAUCCUCGUGGACUCUUUUCACUAGGGUAGUUUUGCCAAGUCCUCCCAUACCAACCACUGAAACAACCUUUAGUUGGUAAUCAUCCCCUCGGAGGAGCUCAGGAAUAAGACGUUUCUUGGGCUGGUCAAUGCCAACUAAUUUAGCUUCUUCCACAAGCAGUGCGUCAUCUCUGCUAUAGCGCCAUGUUGUGUUGUUCACAGCAGAAAGUGAGUUGGACGCUUGGGCAGAGAUACCAUAUUCGGAUUGGUAUCUUUGAUGACCUUCAGAAAUACUUUUGAUUCUGGACUUGAUGCUUUGUAUUUCGCUAGCAACUCGAUGACGAGCUCUCAAAUUCUUGAUGGAGCUGAAAAUUCUCCGAACAGAGCCGUAGAAUCCUGUUGCGCGAUGCCGAGCAAAGCGAGCUACAAAUUCAUCAAGAAUGUCCUCAGUGUCAUAAGCAGCAUCUCGCACUUGCUUGAUCCAUUGUUGGAGCGUGGGUUGAGCAUCUUCUUCUCUUGCUUCUGCCUCUCGCAGGAAAGCUCUCAUUUGCUCCAACUCAUCCAUGAUGAAUUGGACCUCUUGCCGAAGCCCUCCCAAUAGUCGUCCCUCCUCGUGCAGAAAAGUUGAGAGUUGAUCCAGCACAAAAGAGAGAACAGUUUCUGCCAUUUUUAGUCUUUCUUUUUAACCUAAGAAUGUCGGGGGAGGCGGCUUCUGGUUUAUAGGACAGUCCAGUUGUAGUAUCUUGAAAGGAAGAAGGAAGAGGAGGUUAUAGAUUCAUAAGCUGAUGAACUUCGAUGCUAUAUGGUGCAGUAUUUAUCAAAAAGAAAAAGAAAGAACUAACUGUGGGUCCUUUGGUCGGAUAAUAACAAAGGAGCAUCGUUCAACUACUGCAAAAUGUUCUAUUAUAUGUGCCACAAUAACUCAGGCCCUUCUUUACAAGCGGAAGGAAUAAAGUUAAAACGCCGUCGGAUUGGACUGGACAUUAUUGAUUUCUUUGACGAAGAAAUAAAACUACUGCAAAAUGUUUUGCUCCUCCUGCUAAUAUGUAUAACCUUCCUUCCUUCCAUUGACUAUCACUUGAAUUUUUUAGUCUCAUUACUUGUGUGUCAACUAUUAUUUGAGAAUCUAAUAUCUCUUUUGAUUGGGAAUUUUGAAAAAUAAAAUAUCAUGUAAGUCUAAAAACAAACCUAAUAUGUCUAAUAAUUUUUUAUACGACCUAAAAUUGUAUUAGUUUGAAAACUAACGAAUUAUUUUUCAAUUAUUGUAACUGAUUUCAGAGGACUAAUUUUUUGUAAACUUUCAUCCUAAGUACGUAAUGACAUUUGUGUCUCUAUAUCCACUUUAAAACGUACACGUAAACUAUGUAAAUACAUUUUUUUUAUGUUCAAAUAAAUUAUCUAGACAUAGACUAAUUCAAAUAUUGGAGUAGAGGUGUUUAUUUUGUUCAAUUAUUAAUCAAUAAUAUUUGUCCAAGCAUGUUAACAGAGACAAAAAUGAUGCUACACGAGGAUGGAGGUGCUCUUUUUCUCUUUUACUCUAGUAAGUAUAUUAUUUUCGUUUUCUUCUUUUUAUUUUUAAAAAAUCAUUCUUAAUUAAGAAAAUUAGCGUUAUCGUACUCAUAACAUCAUAAGCCAAAAGAUCAUGUAAAGUAAAUUAAAGUAGAAACCUUAGGAACAAACCACUCAAACUAAUUUUUACAAUAAUUAAUAAAGUAGAAAUACUAAGUUCAGUGUUAUUUUUUGUUAAUAGCAGCUCAUGAGUGUGAAAAUUGUGGAAGAUAGAAGCAAUCAAAUCAGCAUACUAUUUAAACUUAGGAUCCAUGAGCUACUAAUAACUUGGCCAAAGUAUUUUAUCCCGCUGAUUUAAUUAACUUCAAAAGUUUUAUUGAGCUCCAAUUAACUAUAGUAAUAACGUGACUUAGUUCAAAUUACAAAACUCGAUCACAAGUAAUCGUACGGAGUUGAAUAAACCAUAUAAAUAAGGCGCCACAGUAACCAAGUUAGUGUUAGCCCCUUGUGAUCACCAUUUUAAUCUAUUAUCUCACUUCUUUCUUGCUUUUGUUUUUCCAUCCCUCCUUUUCCAGUUGUGAAAUUACUGCAACUACAACUGGAUAGGACGAAAGGCGGCUCAUUUUACCAAUUAGAAACUUGGCUAUGUUCAUAAAAAAGAAGAAAAAAAAAGCCUUGAACUUCAAGAAAAGUAAACAAAUCUCAGCACUAACUUGAGAGAAAAUGAAACCUCUGGCAAUAGCUGAUCCAAACCUACCCUGUCAAAUCCAAGUUUGCCGAAAGAGAGAACACGGGCGAGGAAGAUGAUAAUUUGAAUCAAAAUUAAAACAAUGCAGUAUAUGUGCAAGGCCUUUAGCUAGGAAGAUGGAGUAUCAUAGAGGAGAAGGUAGAGGAGCAGUACCGUUAUUGAUAAACAAUCCCUCAACGUGGUGGACCUAAUAAGAAUGUGGAUCUCAUCCAUUGACUGUCAGAGUGGCACAUGGCAAUAAUAUCGACUGUGACUUUCUCACUUUCCUGGUUGGAUGGUAGAACAAUUAGAUCAGAGUACCUUAAGAUUGUGGACCUAAGAUUGUCGCACAUGGCAAUAAAAUUGAGACUUAAAUGAUAUGGGAUCAGAGUACCUUGUUAGGUGAUCGGAGAAUGCGUAGUUUAGUCAUUUCACGAAAUAUUAGUUGUAUUCAAGUUAAGAUGGAUAGUGCUUAAUUUUCCAUUUAUUACAAGUAAGACUAGGUUAGGAAUAAGGGACAUGAAGUAACCGGAGGAUAAGGUCCAUCAUAUGAGCCACUCGAAUACUAUAUGCUGAAAAAGCAGCUUUGAAACAAAAGAAGAAGCAAAGGCACAAAAUUUUCCUAUGGUUCCUAGAAAUAGCAAAAGAAAGAAGAUAGAAACACAUUAUUGACAUUAUAAAUUUCCAUCAAUUAAUGUUCGUCAUUUUUAUACGGUAACUUACUACAGAGAAAUUGUGAAAGCCGUGUGAGAAAGUUGAGGAUGAAAUACGAGGAAAAUACUUACUCAACAAGAAACUGCAGCAAAAAUAUAUAUAUAUUGGAGUAGAGCCAUAAUAGUCAAUAAAAAAUAAGAAGAAACUAAUGCAAGAGAGAUGAUGGAAAUUGAAUAGAAAGAAGAUAGUUAGCUACGUGAUUUUGAAAGGCGAAGCUACAUUACAAAAUCAUGGAAAUUAUUAGAGAGACAAUGCAGUUGGUGGAAAUUGAAUGGAAGGAAGAUCACCAGAGAGGGACUUAAGUCCCUCCUUGGGCUGUUGGUGAGGGUUCAAACCUCAUCAGCAGCGAAAAAAAUCUAAGGGUUGUGCCAUAACACUCCCUUGGUCUAGUUGGGUCUGUAUACCCACUAUCCCCUAUCACAGCCUCUUUAGGCUCCCCCUCCCCCUAGAUUAGGAUAGAAUAAGUUAUACAAAAUAUAUACAAAAAAGAAUGGAGGAUAGAAUAAGUUAUACAAAAUAUAUACAAAAAAGAAUGGAACAAAAAUAAUUAGCAACGUGAUUUUGAAAGGCGAAGCUACACUACCAGUGUACCACACCAUCGUUCAAAGGCAACGAUGUCUAAACUUAAAACGUGGUGGCCUGGACAUCGAUUUCAUUGACGUAGAAAUAAAAGGAAAAUACAGAUUUAGUCUCUAAUAUUUUGACUUUAUGCAGUUUUAGUCAUUAAAGUUUUGAAAAAUGCAAAUUUGAUUCUCAAUGUUUAGCACAUGUGCAAUUUUAGUCCCUAAAAUAUUGGUAGGAACAAAUUUGGUCCCCUACAUUAUCGUUUUGAAGCAAAUUUAGGAUGAUUGACGAAUUUUUUCAAAUAUUGGUAGAAUCUGUUACGUGUAGUUACAUGCUUGUCAAUUUUAAAUAUCUUAAAAAAGAAGUAAAAUAGCGAGUACUCUUCAAUACUAAGACCAGUUUACAUGAUGCCACGUCGGUAACUAAUUAAUCAAGAAAAAGAAAAUUUGUUAAUCUAUAUGAAAAAGUAAAUGUUACGAUUUUGUGCUUGGCAUAGUCAGGAUAGAGUGUAAAAAUGAGUUCUAUAUCGAUGAAUUGGGUGCUUCAACUAAUUUUAGUUUAAAAAUUUUCAAUUUUUACUAGUUAAUUAGUUAGCAUAUGAAUUAUCAGUUCUUAAUUUUGUUGUUUAAAGUUAGCUACUACUUUGCAUCUUUGUUUUGAAAUGUAAAUUAAUGGACACAUAAUUAGACGUGACUAAAUUAUGUCAGUAAUUGAAAAAAAAAUUUCAAAUGUCCUAAAUCUAUUUUCAAAAUGGAUAUAUUAGGGACCAGAUUUGCUCUUGCAAAAAAUUUAGGGACCAAAACUGCACAGGGACAAAAAAGAUUGAGGACCAAAUUUCCUUUCACCAAAACUCUAAGGACUAAAACUCCACAGGAGAUAAAAUUUAGGGACUAAAUUUUUUCCAGGAAUACGUGAUGCAGAGGAAAGUUAUUUCUUCUGAGUGGAACAGAAAAAGCAACUCAAGACCUAAGCUCAAUUCAGGUUUCUGAUGAAUUCUUUUGUGAAAUCUAGCCGAGAGUAGCUGAAACUAGUUAAGAAUACAAAAUUAUACUUAGUACGCAAUAAGCAGAAAGGCAUCCAAGGGUCAGUAUAAAUUAUCUUCAAAUUUCAGAACACCAGUGCUUGUGCACCUAUUAAUGAAUUAUGGACUCGAUAAUAGUAUAUUUACUUUAAUGUAAGCUUUAAGUACUCCCCUACCUUGUUUUCUUUUACCUGAAUAGAUAGUUUCAAUGCUUAUUCUUCGACUAAAUGAUGUUGUACUUUAUUUGUUCAUUUUUUUCUUUUUGUUUUUUUUUUGUCAAAUGAUGUUGUACUAAAAAAGAGAGGAAUUUGCGAAAGAAUAUAAGGGUUCAAAUCUUAUCUAUUAGAAAUUAGUUUCGUUAAUUUCAAAGAAAGAAGUUAAUUAAAGAUCCCCUCUUUGUAUUUUUAUUUUUAACUCAGUAGAACUUAGCAUCUGCUAACCCUUACAUUAAUCAAACAAAUUGCCAACCAAUCGUUCUUGAUUGCCCACAUGUUGCUAAAUCUCAUUGUCAGCAUUCUUUCUUGGUUGCCUCAUAAUUCUUUAAUGCUGAUUUUUUGUAUUAAGUACAUUAGAAAAGAAUAUGAGUUCCACUUUACUACUAAAAUUGAUUAUUAGCAGAGAAGACAAAAGAGACUGGCGAUGCCGAGCCUUAGCACCUAGCUGUCACGGGCUCGAUGCCCUUCCAUAUGCAUCAGCGCAGAAAGCAAAAGUGAUAAGUUCAGUAAUAGGUGCAAUUGUUCAGUCAUCUUCUUUUUUGGUAAAGAAUGGAAGGGUGAAUACAAAGGUGAGAGCAAAACACCCCCCAUUAAUACAUGACUUUAGUCAUUCAAUAAGAAGUAGAUCUAGAAUUACACUACUGGUUCCUAGAAACAGCUUAAGAAAGAGACAGAGACAAUAUAUAUUGACAUUAUAAAGUUCUGUCAAUUAAUGAUAGGGUGUCGGCCUGUGUAAUAAUAAAACCUACUCAAAGUAAAAGUAAUUUCUGUAGAUAGCGGUGAGCAGGGUCGAAUCCACAGGGAUUGGGAAUAAUUGUUUCUUUUCAAAUUCACAGUGACAAGGGGGGUGUUUUUGCGCAGAGAGUGACAAUCAAAUAAAUGCAAAUAAAAUCCAAGGAACUACUAAAAAUUAAAUAACAAUUUACUAAAAUCAAAUAAAUGAUAACUAAGGAUCUAGCUAAGGAAUAACUUCAGCAAUGGUUCACCUAAUUGAUCAUCGAUGCAAAGCCAAUUCCAAUUAUUUACUAAUAAAUAUGUUAUAACUGUCAAACAAGCGAUGACAGUCAACCCCUCCUUACUGUGUCGGUGAUUAAGGUACGCUCGUCAAUCACUACUCUAAUUGAGAAAUAAUCUUAGGUACGCCGGUAAGAUUUAAUUCCCUAAUUGCCUUACGUAUUAGAGGAGCCCUAUUCUAACCAAAUAACACAUUACCAGGGUUAUUUUAGGUUAGCAUGCGUAUUCCCCUGACACAAACCCAAUCAUGUCAGUUAUCACUAUUUUGAGACAAUUAAACAAUUACAGAUUUAACGUCCCAAUUGACAAUAGAUUAUUAAAUUAAUUAAUUAUCCGGAUCCAAGACAAUCAAUUAAUUAAACAAUCAUAAGCACUGUAACCAGGGAAUAUGCGAAUACCAAUAAAUAAAAGAAAAAGAUAAAAUUAAAUCGAUCUCAUAAUUUUAGGCGAGCCAAAGCGUCCGUUGCUCCUUGACUAGACAAAGGGAUUUAACUCAUCCUUGUCUACUCUUACCGAAAAGAAAAGAAAAGAAACUAAAGAUAAAAGGAAAAGUCAAUGAUAGGGUGUCAUUUGUUAGUAAUUUUAUUAGUAAUUUUCCCUUUUAUCUCUGUCAAAUAUUGUGUUAAUUGCGAAUAUCUACUUAUAUUUGGUUUGUGAACUUAAUUUCAGGAAUGGAACAGAAAACUACCAAACCUGAGGGUCUUUCUGGAGAUAAUUGAGACUUCAAACAAGCCACAGGCCAGGGCCACAGUGCUGAAAAGAACUGGACUCCCAUUCCUUUAUUUUUGUUGACUAAGAAGACUACAACCAGAGAUUUCGACAGAGAACUUCAAGGCUUGGGCCUUUGACUUCGGCAGGGACCACGGAGGAAAGGAAAAGGGCUUUAGGCAUUUGGCUCUUAAGAAGAAAGCAACGUAGAGAGCCAGAAAAACUAAGAAGAAACUUGGAGGCUUGUGGCUAAGUGGUGGGGACCGCACUGAGGCUCAAAACAAGGAGAAGAAUUCGGCAGACUUGUGCUAUUUCGUGGGGACCACUGGAUGAGCUUUGAGUCAUCUUUCUCUUGGUUCUUAAAAGGGGGACAACGUACAGCAGAAAAAGGACGGCUUGAGUUUUAGCUUUUUAGUUUAGUUCUAGUUUUCUUUCUUUUGACUAGCCUUUGACACACGCCAGGUGUUCGACAAUAUUUCCCAACGGGAAAAACAUCUUUUAUUCCUUGCUUUCUAGUAAAAACGCAAUGCCUUUGCAAUCAAUUAAUUCGUGUGGUGAUUUAAUUAUGCGGCGUGACUAAACCUUCCAUCUAGUCAAGGGUCAACUCGACGGCGCAGUCCCGAAAAUUUGUGAGAUCUAAUUAGUUUUCGCGCGUUCCUCAAUUUAUUAAUAUUUGCACGUUAUCUGCUUGAAUUUUCAUGAGAUUAUUUUAUUAUUUGAAUGUCAAGGGUCCGAUGUUCAAUGUGAUUUAUUAAUCUCGUGCCAAUUUAGUCAAUUAAAUCCGUAAUUGUUUGAUUGAUUAAUAUUAGUGGCAACUGGUGUGUUUACACAUUAGGGGAAUGUGCAAUCUAAUUUAAAUAACCCUCGUAGCGUGUUAUUGAUUAGGGCUAGGUUUUUCUAGUGAUUAAUGCAAUUGGAAAAUUAAUUCCUACGGUCGUACUUAGGAGUAUUUUCUGGUUAGGGGUAAUCAAUGGUCGUACCUUGGUUAUCAAUAAAUUAAGGAAAAAUUGGUCGUUAGAAUUCGUCGGCGACUAUAACUAGUCUAUUAAUAAAUUAAGUGAACCUCUCUUGCAUCAAUGAUCGGGUAAAUGGACUGUGUCUGAGUAGUUGUAUCCCUGGCUAGAAUUUAUUUAUUCUUGAUUUAAUUCCUGCUAUAUUUGUGCUAGUUAAUUAUUUAUUUUUAGUUAGAUUGUUUAAUUAUUUUUAGUUGCCUAUCGGUGAAAUCCCCCUCUUACCAAUUGGACUUUAAAAGAGACAAAUAUCUCCAGUCCCUGAGGAGACGACCCUAUUUGUCACUGUCUACUAUUUAGUAAAUUUCGUCAAUUAAUUAAUUCUGGUAUAUCGGAUUCAGCAAACUGUUCGGUAACAGGGUUAAUCAAGUAACCCAUUGCACACCUAGAGUCCCUGCUCCAGUACCUGGAAUUAAUUUUUGACUGCUUUUAGUGGUAUUUAGGUUUUUAUUAUUAUUAUUGCACAGGUUCGACACCUGUCAGUCAAAGUCUUCCCCAUUGUUUCUCCUCACAUCCGUGGAGAAUAACUACUAAAAGCUAAGAAGAAAAAGUGAAAAGUAAGGCUAAGCUAAAAGACGAAAAAACUAAGAAGAAAGCAAGGUUGUCCCUUUCUCCACUGCAAUUUUCUGGUUUUUGGUUAUAGUAUUUUUGUUCUACUCUCUGAAAUAAAUAUAAAUUGCCAAAAGUGAGUAGAAUCUAACAAUUAAUCCACAUCGGGUUAGGUAAUAGAGGAAAUUAAUAAUAAAAUAAAUCAUAAAAUUGCAACCUAUCAAUUUCCCCCACACCUAAACCAUACUUGCCCUCAAGCAUGAUAAUAGCAAACAAACACCAAUAUUUGACAAUGGUCAUUGCUCCGUCUACCAUAUUACCAAGAUACCAAGAAAAACAUAUAUCAAGCAUGGGUGAUCAAGAUCCAAGAAACAUCACUUCGGUUAGCUUCUAAACCACAAACUCCUCUAAUUUCAUGUUAACUAAUCUAAGAAAAAGAAAUGACGCACAACAUUUAUCAGCAAAUGGUCCAACUAUUAAUCAAAAUCUCAACAUUAAAUCCAUAAAUCGGCAAGCUGACUUUUAUUAUACACUAACACAACUUUCAUUUUUUUAUCACAUUUUUCUACUUUUCUCUUUUUUUUUUCCUUUUUUUUCUCUUUUUUUUUUUUGCUUUUUUCGAUAGUAACAAAAGACUUGGUCGCUAGCCAUUGGAGCCUUUUGACGCGAACUCUGACAUUUAUUAGAUGAAAGAGCCCGGUUACUCAGUUUCGAUCGCCACGUGACCACGUACUCAUAGUAAUUACUACUUUUUGACGUGAGAAUUGACACUUUUGGUGAAGAUCCCCGGUUACUCGGUAGUAAAGACUAGCGGAGUACAGUCAACUCUUAUUCACCACUAAAUAAUAUAAAAACUCAAUAUAACACAAAAAUUAAAAGAAAAUUUACAUCAGCUAGUCUCAUUUUCAAACAUGGAGAACUAAGGUUAAUAACCGGACCAAUUCACAUGAAAAUGCCAACAAUCAUUCCCUUUGCCUAGAGAAGUUAACCAAAAAUUAGAAGAGCUACAUAAUCACUGAUAUUCACUAAAGGAAUGCUCUUGGAUUCAACCACAUUAACUCGAUACAUUUUUAUUAUUAAAACUAGGCAAAAGUAGAAAUAGGGACAACAAUCCAACAUCAAACCUUGGCAUGCACAUGUAAACUAAUCACUAAAAAGAAAGAAAGGAAAUGCACGAAAGAUGGCCAAAUAACAAACUAAAAAGAAAGAAAGAAAAAAAUAUGAGAAAAAAAAUAAAUAAAAGAAAAACACCUAAAAACUAGAAACGCUAGCACCCCCCAUUUGCUCCCCCCCACACCUAAAUCACACAUUGCCCUCAAUGUGAUAAACUAACAGCAAAAGGAAGGAGAAGGGCAACGGUACUUCCCUGAAGUCGUCAAAACAGUGGAGGGUUAGGCGGAAAUUAAGGAGGAAUUCCGGUGUGCUGCAUAAAUGCGGCCAAAUUUCUGCAUAAAAGCUGACAAAACUUGCCCAUCCCAAAAUCUCAAUAAAUGUCUCCAAUUGGACAGUUAAUUUCUCAACUCAAAAUCGGCAAUUCCAGCAAAAGCAGUUUAGAAAUUUGAUAAUAGCCACACAAUGACAAGCACUUAGUUCCCAAUCAGGCAGCCAACCAAAUAGAAAUAACAAAUGCUAGUCAAAAUAUCCCAACCAGUGCCACUGAUGCACACACAGGUAAGAAACAAUGCAAACAGGCAACCCAAAUCACUGACAAUGCCCCUCCAAAUCAAUAAUAGAAACCAACAGCUAGAGUGCCCCAACAACUCAACUGAAAACUACCAAUCUCAACAAGUAAAUCAAGCAACCAGGUUUUCCAAAUCAACAGGCAGUAGCAGAACUAAAUCACCCAAUCACCGUGCACGAUAGGCAACAAAAAAAAAUUUUUUUUUUUAUAAGUGCGGGGCUGCCAUGGUGAGUUCUAUAUAUAACACUACUGGUUCCUAGAAACAGCUUAAGAAAGAGACAAAGAGACAAUAUAUAUUUGGACAUUAUUAUUUUUCAAAAAAAAAUUGCUACGUUUUUCGUAAACACAUUUUCCAAUCACCUUUCCACCUCACAUAUAUCAAAUCACUACAUUAAUUUUUCUACAAAAAAAUCUAAAAAAAUGCAAUCCAAACACAACCUUAAAGUUCUGUCAAUUAAUGUUUGUCAUUUUUAUACGGCAACAUGCUAGUACAAAAGAAUUGUCAAAAGCCGUGUGAGAAAGUUAAAAGUUAAGAAUGAAAUACGAGGAAAAUUCUCAUUCGCAACAAAGAAACUGCAGCCAAAAAAAAAAAAAAAAAGAGGAGUGGAGCCAUUAAAGUCAGUCAAAAAGAAAAAGGAAAAAAUAAUCAAUUACAAGAAACUAAAGCAUGAGAGAUGAUUGAAAUUAAAUGGAAAGGAGACUGACAGCAGUGUGAUUUUGAAAGGCGAAGCUACUCUACCCGUUACACUACAAAAUCAUGGAAAUUAUUAAGCAGUUGGUGGGGCGUAUGCGUUCACUCUUCAGUCUUCCAUCAAAUAAAGGGGGUGGCUACCAGCGUACCGCCCUAUCGUUCAAAAGCAAUCGAUGUCUAAACUUAAAAACGUGGCGGCCUGGACAUUGAUUUCAUUUCAUUGACGAACAAAUAAAGGGAAAAUACGCAGUUAGUUAUAAUAGGCAGGGCAAUUAUACCCAACAAAUUGCAAUAUUUCAGAAGUUAGUAUUUACAAAUUGAACUCGACUAGUCUGGAAACAUCACUGUUAUAUAUUCCGAUCAAGAACAUAUACUAUGAAUAAUUGCAGUCGAAUAUCGUUCUUUAACUAAACUGUUAAGAUGAAUUCUGGGAAGUGAGUGAGGAGCUCAAACUAUAGAGACGCAUAGAAACUCUGCCAUUCAAUGUUGUAGAUCUCUUGUUUAACAGCUUAGAAGCCGCUAAUUGGGUAGUCUUUUAACUCAUCUCCAAAAUCUGAAGGCUUUAACUCAUCCCGGACUAGCUAUAAUGCCCCCGCAUGAAUGCUAUAAUUUGUACCUAUAAUCUAAAAAGCGUUUGUCAAAACUCUAUACGAGUCUCCAAGUGUGUGCCAAGUUUCACAGGUUGCAGAAAUGUACUCCAAGUUUCACAGGUUGCAAGAAAGUCCACCUCUUUCGUUGUAAAGAUGAUUGCUCGAGGGCGUAAACUACUACUAACACAUAUGUUACCCCAGUCAGACGACAGAGUGUCCAGAAAUAAGAUUCAAAAGCUUUGAUAGUCUUAACUCAUAUCCAAAAUCUGAAGGCUUUACGUACUGCUGCUACAAGGAGAUCAUUUCAGUUGAUUCAGAGAACCUUGCAUGAAUUCGGUGAAAUGUCCAGCCUCAAACCAAACCUACACAAGUGUCAGAUAUACAUGGCUGGUGUGAAUGAGGAUAUGCAGAUUCAGCUUUGCAAUUCACUGCAGAUGCCUUUAGGCUCACUCCCUGUUAGUUAUUUGGGCUUGCCAUUGAUAUCUACUAGACUGAGAUUUUAUAUAUCGUCAACCUAUUUUAAAUAAGAUAGAACAAGGAAUUCAUAGUUGGGCUAGUAAAAAACUUUCAUAUGGAGGCAGAUUACAAUUGAUAAAAUCCAUCUUAAAUGGAAUUCAGGUUUUUUGGUCUAGUGCUUUUGUUCUUCCCAAAUCUGUCAUCAAGACGUUUUGUAGGAUGCUAACUUCCUUUUUAUGGGCUGGUGAGAUUAGAACUCAUUAGUGUGCAAAAGUUAAGUGGACUGAUAUAUGUAUGCCUAAGAAGGAGGGAGGAUUGGGCUUGUUUGAUUUAAAACUUUGGGACAAAUGUCUAAUCAUGAAGCAAAUAUGGCAUAUUUGCUGUAAAAAGGAUACUCUUUGGGUUAAAUGGGUUCAUACCAACAACUUGAAAGGGUGUUCCUUUUGGGCAGCAAAGAUUCCUGUUAAUGGUUCUUGGGUAUGGAGGAAAAUAUUGUUGAGGCCUGAGGGACGAAGCUCAGCCUUUCAUUAGGCAUCUACUGGCACCCUAUUGGUCCUUUAUAUAAAUAUUUUUUCUGAAAUUUGUAUCAUAUUUCAACGGAAAUGUAUCUUUGCUCUGACCAUUGUGUCUAUGGUCCUUGAAUCAGUUAGGAAUACUAGUGUUGUGAGUUGGAGAGGAGUCCCACUGACCAAAGCCAAUUGGGAGCUAAGUAUGGAGUUCGGAUCGUCUCGUGUGUUUCCAGCAAGAUUGAGUUUGCAUUACUAUAAUAGUGAUAGAAUUUAUGUAAGUAGGAAUUGUUUGAUUCCUGUGUACUCGCUUAAUUCUUUAUCAAUAAAGAUUCAUAUUUGUCCAAAAAAAACCAACAAAAGAAUGACCAAUUACUUGCAUUACAUCAACAAUUAAUAUCAAUUAUGCCAACACUAGCAAAAAAGAAAAACAUUCCCAUGAGUUGUGGUGAAUUAAAUCGAAAAAAGAACAACAAAUUUUAUUUAUUAUAAAAGAAUAUCGUGAAUCUUAGUGGUUAAUAGUGUAAUUAGCUUUUGUGAUGCCACAAUUACACUCCUCUCUAAUAAAUGGACAAAUUGCAUUGCAUUUCAUCAAUAAAUAAUAUCAAAUAUGCUAGCAGUUACAAAAAUGAAAGAUUUCUUACUUUUUUAUUUAUCAAAAAAAAGAACAAAUUUUAUUUAUGAAAUAUCCAAGUUUAAAGAGUACUUCGAACAUGAAAUAAAGCAUAAUAAAUUGGUACUAUGAGUCUCUUAAAAAGUAUUAUGAAUCUUUUUAUAUUUUGGAUAAAAAUAAAUUAAGCCUUAAGAGCACGUUUUAGUAUGCAUAUAUUAGUAUUAAGUAAAAAAAUUUAACACAAAAUAUAAUAAGAGCUGGAGUAUGAUGAAGGAAAAGAGAUUUAUGUUAGGAAUUUAUUGGUUUAAAUUGCAACAAAAAUUAAAUUUAAUGAACUUUAUUAUUGGUAUUAUUGUAACAAUUGAUAGCAUCAAACAUAUCAAUGCCAAUAACAAUAAUAGUUAUAAAGGUGAAACAAUCAUUUGAGUUAUGGUGAAUUAAACUAAAAAAUAUAAUUUUUUAAUGAAAUAUAUAUCCAAUUUCAAAGAGUACAUCAAAGGUGAAUAAAAAUAUUUCCAAAUUCAAUUUGAUUAUUAUAUAAUAAAUAAGCUUAACGGCUUACAAUUUUUAAAUAUAAACUCUAUAAUCGUAAAUCAUGUCAUAAAUGAUAAAUAUAAAUAAGUUUCACCAAAUGAAAACAUUUCUCUUCAAAAUUAAGCUAUUUAAAUUUGAACAAUGGAAUUCAACAUAUCUAAAUACUAUUGUAAUUAUAAUAGUACUAUAGAUCAUUUUAGAAUUCAACAUUAGCGAAAAAUAAUAAUAAUUAGAAAAACUCACUACUGUUUAAAAAUUCAUAGAGUGACUUAAAGGGGAACAACAAAUUAUUCAAAAGUUAAAGAUUUUAACUCAAAUGACAUAAAUUUAACAGAAAGAAGAAAACAUAAAUACUCUUACAAAAUAAAGUCCUCUUGGAACAAAUAAUACUUUAUUACUUGUGCAUUUGUAUUGGUUAGGGCAAACCAAAUUCAAAAAAAUAUAUGAAUAAUAAAUAUCCUUUUUGGUUAACAAGUUAUAAAUUUAAACUCAAAUGACAUAAAAGAGAACACUGAGAUAAUCCAAAUUUAACAGAAAGACAACAACAUUGAUACUGUUACAAAUUAAAUGUGCUCUUAGGAUAAAUAAUGCUUUAUUGCUUAUGCAUUUGUGUUGGUUAUGGCAAAAAAAUACAAAAAAGUAUAAAUAUUAAAUGUCACAUUUUUUGUCUCAAUUACAUUUAUUCUUACAAAAUAAUUUAUUUUCUAAAACUUUUGAGAAAUGUUAUUUGUAGUCACAUUUCUGUUAAUCAUACUCCCACUAUCACUUAAAUCAUAUAGUUUUCAUUUGUUAAGAUAUGUGGUACCGUAUCAAAAAAAAUGGAGUGCAAAUUACAUUUUUGAAAAUUCUAAGAAAAAAAUCUAAAAAUAUCAUGCUCAUGUUCACGUGUAAAAGCACAUGAUCCAUUACUGGUAUCUUAAAAAUGCUUGAUUAUCCAAAUAGAGGAGCUUCCUAAAGAUUGUUGGAGUUUGAAUGGUCAGUUCCCUUGUGAAGUUUCUUGAACAAUCUCGAGACUCAGAUGGUUCUUAGAUGAACAUACGAUUGCAUAAUGGGUGAUGAUAUGUUGAAAUUUGUUAUUAAUUGUUAUGAUUAAUUUCCCCUUUACUCUUGCCAAAUAUUGUUUUAAUUGUCAGAUUCUACUGAUAUUUGGUUAAUUGUGUUAAUUAUAGAGAAUUAUGUGAGACGCGAUCAAAAUGAGCAAAUUUCUAGCAUUCCAAGAGUUAAUUUGAUGGUGGUACGUUUGGGGCCGAUUUCCAAAUCCUAGUCGAACUCAGGUUAAUUUUUGAAGGAAGAUUUUGAAAACUUCAAUUUUCAUUAUUAGUUCUAGAAUUGGAUCAGGGAACUUGGAAUAGUAUUUUUAGUAGUUACUUUUUUCUAUUUAGGAAACAUGUUAUGUUAUUGGUAGUUGAGAUCGAAUGGGAAACAAAAAACAAAAGCAAAGGACGGACCGCUUGAUGUGGAGUUGGCCAGCAACAAUUUCAGAGUGCGACUCUUGGAAGUAGGAUAUACGGCCGUCACUUGUUUCUUUUUUUUCCCUCUUGUCUUUCGUUAGUUUUUUUAGAGAAAAACCAUACGCAAUUGUUAUCAAUGGAGUCUUGUGGAUUUCCCUCGAGGAUGCGUAGCUAAAUUCUAUUUCUAGUCUGAGGAUAACUUGAAGACUUUGUUCUACAAACUAUGAGAUCGAAUCAAUUACACUGUUUCUUUUAUUUGCUGGUAUUUAUUCGUUCUUUGGUUUUAAUAAUUAUGACUAUUAUGUUAUUCAAAUAUCAAAGGGCUCGGUAUUUGAAUUGACUUGAUAGUUGAUUGCUAAUUGAAUCGAUUUAAUUCGUAAUUGUAAGAUUGCUUUAAUCUUGGGAGCAACUGGUAUAACUAGAUUUGUGUUAGGAAAAUGACUAAUCUAACUUAAAGAGACCUUAUAGCGUGUUGAUUGGUUAGAAUUAGACUCUUCUAAUUAUUCAUGCAAUCCGGUAAACAAACUUCUAUGGUCGUACCUAGAGUUAUUUCCUGAUUAGAGAAAUAGUCAACGAUCGUACCUUGACUAUCGACAAAAUAAGGAAGAGUUGGUUUUUAUGCUAGAACUAAUUUAUCAAUAAAUAAUUAAAUUUAUCCUUGCAUCGGUUUAUGAACUUUGUCUGAUAGUUAUUCCUCUUGCUAGAGUUUUGCUAUUAUUGAUUCAAUUUUAUUUUAUUUGUGUUAUUUUGAUCUUACUGAAUUUAGUUGGUUAAUUCCAAGUAUCUCCAAACUCCCCCAAUUAAUUCUCACUUGAAAAGAAAUAAAUUUUUCCAAUCCUUGUGGAGACGAUCCUGCUCAUCACUGUAUACAGUUUUAUAUUUAUCUCGAGUAGGUAAUUAUUAUUACACACACUGACAUCGGUCAAGUGAUGCUUUCCAUAGUCUGAACCUAGUUGAGGAUGACGAAAAUUAGUCUUGCCCUGUUAUGGACUGUAGGAAUGGUGAGAGAGGAAGGGAAGAAGCAGGCCUUGAAAAAAUGAGCUAACUUGUGCAAAGAGUGGGUGGGGAACGUUAACAUAACUUUUUGUGCGUUUUCUCCUGAUGUAAUUGUCGGCAAUAACUUUGUCCAGUGCUAAGGGAAACACCCAUCGAUUUUGCAUUUCUAGUUUGAUAUUUGAGGGCCUUUGCAUCUCUGAAGAUCAAAUGGUACAGUUUGGAAUUGCUGAUGGUUCUGCGGCAAGUGUAUUUUUUUUUUCCUUGAAAUUUCAUCAAAGCCGCUCUUCUUUUUUUUUUUGUCUUUUUUUUUCUAAUGUAAGUGAGAAGGUUUGAACCCAAUAGCUCUUAUUUAUACUCCGUUCUCUCGUACCAUCUAACCCAUUCCUCUACUAUCAUCAAAAUUGCUGUUUUAAGAAGUAAGAACAAGCAUUAAGUCAUGUCCAGUGCUAAGGAAAACACUGGUUGAUUUUGCAUUUCAAGUUUGAUGUAUAGGGGCCUUUUCAUCUCUGAAGAUCAAAUAGUACAGUUUGGAAUUGCUAAUGGUUCUGCGGCAAGCUCAAUAUCAAAUGGUACAGUUUUGAUCCUUGUUUUAAGUUAUCAAGGGGUUAAGUAACUUCAUGUUUUGAUCCUUGUACUAUUUUUUUUUAUUUACAUUUUUGGGUUUUCUGGAUAAAAUAGUACUACUUAUCAUAAACACGGGCGAAAUUUUAGAGCAACUUCAGAAACAUGUGUGUUAAAGUGGAGCUCAAGACUCCCAGAUAAUGAGAAUGUACUCAAGCCAAUAGGCCAGUGGUUGCUCUUGAUUACCAACAUAUGCAUAUGCAUAGAUCAUCUGCAUUUUUUGUUCCUAAUUGCCAGCAUAAUCCACAUCUUUUGAUUUUACAAAAAUGCUGUAAAAAAAAAAGUCAUGAGCCCCUCUAUACUACGAGAAGAUGAUUGAUUGUUCACCCAGAUUUUGUCAAGUUUAGAAAAAAAAAAUCUUUAGAGUGAAUUGAAUCAAAUCCAAAUUUUGUGUUUAGUGACAAUUCCUAAAAGAGAAUGCAAUGAAGAUUUUCAGUGUAAAACAUUUAAGAACCAGUCAUGCACAUUGUAGGUUUAUUAGCACAAAGUAAUUAUGCUAGUCAAUGAUGAAUGAUCUCAUAUGCAACGCGAGUUGAAACAUUGGCAAAUUGGGAAAGGAAAGAAUAGAUUGGGGAUACCUAUAACUUAAAAGGAGUCAUAUAAUAAACUUGGUGCAUGUUCAGUAUUCGCUAUAUUUACAAGACAAGCCAUUAUUGAUGUGGGUUUGUACAAGCAGAGUGAGGACAAAUUGGGUUUAUGUAUUAUCUCUCACCAAAAUUUAAAAGUUAUUAUUUGGAGCUUUUAAUGAAAAUUUUCUGGUAGAUAUUAUUAACACACUUCUAACCUGCCUACCUUCUUGGACUGGACAUUGUUGAUUUCAUUGACGAAGCAAUAAAACUGCUACAGAGUCUUUUGCUCCUUCUAGUAACAUAUAUAACCUUCCUUCCUAUAUGGAAUUAAUUUCUGCUGACCAAUUAGUAUUUGUAAUAAAAACGGAUGGAAUAUCAAAGAAGCCUUGGGAACAAAAUGUGAGACUACAUUGAUUUAGGAGGCCUUUGAACAGCAUGGAAAUUUAGCACAUGUGCAAUUUUUAGUCCCUAAAAUAUUGGUAGGAACAAUUUCGGUCCGCCAUGUUAUCGUUUUGAAGUAGAUUUAGGAUGAUUGAUGAAUUUUUUUAAAUAUUGGUAGAAUCUGUUACGUGUGAUUACAUGUUUGUUAAUUUUAAAUAUCUUAAAAAAGAAGCAAAAUAGCGAGUACUCUUCAAUAAUAAGACCCGUUUACAUGAUGCCAUGUCGGUAACUAAUUAAUCAAGAGGGAAAAAAAAGAAAAUUUGUUAAUCUAUGUGACGCCCCCACUUCUCCCUAAGGCGAACCAAAGGGUAUCCGCGGGACGCCUGCCCAGCUCUCGCCAGGACUCACUACAAUCCAUCAUUUAAAAGCUCGAAAUACUUUAAGUAACCUCAAUACAUAAUUAAAGUAUUUCAAAUAUCUCACACUUACAAUUAUGCAGCUUUCAAGGUUAAAUACAACCCAACGGAAAAGGGUACAAUAGCCAUCCGUUAUAAUAUAACUUAAAGUUUUCAAAAGAAAACAAUCUAGUACUACUCACGAGCACCCUUGGUCUCGAACCCUGUAAAAGAAAUCCACAACGUGGUAUGAGCUACACAGCCCAGUGAGGUUCCAAGACACUCUAACAGUUCAAAUAAAUCAAGUAAGUUGGGCAUAUCAUAUGCAUGGUUCAAGGUUACACAAUGGCAUGUUAUCAUGAGGUGAUAAUCAUUGUACGGGUAAUUUGAGACAUUUAUCAUGGUAUGAGACAUUUAUCAUGAGACAGGUAUCAUGGUAUGAGUACAUUGGUCAGGUAACAGGUAUGGAGCAUAUCACAGGCAUAGCUCAGGAUUUCAUGUUGGCAUUUUAGCAUGAAACAAUUAUCAUGAUACAAGGUAAACAUAUACGGUAGGAUACGGUGUUCCAGUGGAACUCUGUCGGUCAUCUGCACCUUAUGACUUCCGGAUCCCCUCGGUUUGACUGGCCAUCACCUUAUCCCUCCAAUGGUAAUACUCGAGUAUACCGAAACGGUGUCCCAAGGUUCCAACCUACCCUACCGAGCCCAGUCCUGGCUCGAGUAGGUUAGUAACGAUGAGCAGGGCCCAAUUCAGCUUAGAGCUUACAACAUGCACAAGUAAUCAAGUAAUUCGGCAAAAGGUAAAAUUCAUCAUUUGAGUAGGUCGAGUGAGGUAAAGUACACACUCGCCUAACAAUGAUGGACAACUUCAUAUAACAUGGGAUUCAUGAUAAUCAAGUGAUCAAGUAAGUUGGUGAUUACGUAAGCAGAUAAUCAAGUAAGCAAGUAGCCGAAUAGAUUAGAAAACGGUAAGUAAACAUGGUUAACGGUAAACGGUUAACGGUGGUAAUUACGGUUAAUUGGUAGACAUAUGUCAUUUUAAUAGGCCACCAUUGGCCUUUUUCACUUUUUCCACAUAAGAGUCGAGGAGAUUCACUCCAACCGACUUAUGCUGUCAUAGCAUAAUUAAUCAUUUAAACACAUCAUGUAGAUAUGCUCUCCAAGCAUUUCAUAUCUAAUAUUUCAAGUAAUCACAUAAAUAUGCUCUUUAAGCAUUUCAUAUCGAAUAGUUCAAAUAUACAUAUUUCAGGUAUUUCAUGUCGAGUAAUUCAAGUAUACCUUAUUCAGAUAUGCAUGAGUGUGGUAAAUACUUAACAUAUAGCACUUAACACUUAAUAAUCAUGGGUUAUGCAUGUCAUAGACUUAUUCCAAUUACGUAUUCCUAUAUGGAACACUCACCUAUAGCAACAAGAGAGUAAUACUCAAACAAAUGUCUAGGCGUCCACUUCGAGUUCCUCUUGAAGGUCCCCUUGAGCGCCUGGGCAAAUAACCAUUAACUAUUAUACACUAUCACUUAGAACCCCUACUUAUCAAAGAAGGUUAUACAAUCUAAGGAGAAUUCAUUAAUUGGGCCUUAAUUAAUAAUAAUCGAGGCUCAAGAGUAAAGUUUUAAAGUCUAAAGAGAGAGACUAAUAUUUUUCAUGAAAUCGAGUUCAAAAUGUUCAAUCGGUAUUGAGAAAAGAAGGCAAGUUUCCAAAAUCUCAUUUUCUAAGAAAUUGACAAAUUUCAGCUUUGGGUGUCAAUUUUAGAAAAAUCGUAUCUUGCACUAUGUAGGUCCAAAAUUGGAAAGCUUGAUACCGUUGGAAACUUCUUCAAAAGCGCUAAAAGUUCCUAGAAGAUACUUUUCCAUGAUUCCAAACAGAAGGUAUUCAAAAAUUGACUCAAAGUUGCUGCUUGGGACCAUUUAGACAGUUUCGGGGUUGGUUUUUGACCAUCUUUGAAAAUCCAGCAAAAUUCACACAAUACGAACUAGCCUCCAAAAUUUAGAACUCAAUUAGAGCUACAAUCAAAGUUUAAAACAAAACAAACGGUACAAGAAUUGAAGUUUUGAGCGCCAAGAUAUAGCAGCUCAAAGUUGGCUAAAAAUUCCUCCUCGAUCAAGAAUUUCCAGAUUUAAACAUGAACUUUGGGACUUUGUUUGAACAUCUAAACAGACUCGAAAUGGCACCAAAUUUGGUAUGAUUAUACUACCAUAUAAGGGCUAUUCCUCUGUCAAAUUUCAUAGAAAAAUAUGCACGGAAAGUCACUCAACGAAAUCACUCAAGUUUCCAAAUUUUUAAGGCAAAGCUGCCUCGUGUAUGAAAAUUUCCUUUUCUAAACUUUUGACCAAGGGAAGAUACCUAAAACAUGUCUCGUUUAUGAUAAUCAGGUCUAGCAAGAAUUCAAAAUACAUUUGAUAGGUGAUUUACAUCAAGAAUUUCGAAAUAACAAGUCCCAAGUCAUUGUUAGUUACAAAUCUGUCCAAGUGGAAAAUUCUAUCACUGUAGCUGUUUCAAACUUUGGCCACAACUCACUCAAUUCAACUUGGAAUUGGGCGUGGUUGAUGGCGUUGGAAAGCUCUCUCAUAAAGCUGAAUUUUCUCAGAAGAAACCAUUUUCAAAUUCCAUUCACAAACAGCUCGUUUUUGAGCAUGAAGAUACAAGUCCUGUCCUGUCUCCUGGAGAGAAACGAAACAGGACAGUGAUUUUCAAUCGAAUGGUGUUGCUCACUCAAGUGGAACUAGAAUGUGCAUUUGGUACCAAUGGAAAGCUGGGAAUGCCUAGUUUCAAAUGCCACCAACGGCACUCAAUGUUGACAUCGGAGUAAAGAGUUAUAGCCGAUACAAGAUGACUGCCUGGGCAAUACGGGAUUCAUUUUCCAGUUUUGCUAACUUUGGAAAUCAACUCAUUUAACCAACCAAAUCAUGUUAUUUUUCAAUGAAAUUUUGUACACACUCACAAUAACAUGUAAACAAUAUAAUCAAGUCAUUAGAACCUCAAAAUUGUGCACAAAAAUGGUCGGACAAGGCAGGGGUAAAACGGUCACUUUUGCUCCAAGCACCUCCUAUGAUUUUCUACCAACAAUACAACAUUAAUCCACUAAUUUAAGCACUAAACCACCAUUAAAUCCAUCAUCAAGCAUGAGAUCAGUCCUCAAGACAAAGGUGGGAGUUCAUAGAGCCCACCCAUUUCAUUUUACACCAUAAACAAGCUACCCAAAUACAAAUACUACCUUAUACAUGUAAGAUGAUCUUCAUAAAGUAAGAUUUAAGUGUUGGAUUAACACCUACUUGAUUAGAGGAUGAAGGCAGAAAUUUCGGCCCCUUAGAUGCUCAAGAAAACCAUGGAUAGCAGCUCCUUUUCUUAGCUCAAUGGGAUCUCUAAAUGUUUAGUUAAGUGUAGUUCGAAUUUGGAGUGAAUUGGAAGAGGUUUGAUGAAGAUUUGAUGAAGGAAAAAUGAAGAACUUGGUCUUGUUUUUCCUUGGAGUUGCACGGCUGGAAUGAAGAAGGAAAAGAAGAGUUGCACGGCUGUUUGAGGUGAUAAAGUGGAGGGUUUUUAUCUGGUGUGAUGCACCCAUGUGAAACUAAAAUGUGUGGCUCUCAUUGAUUCAAAGGUUAACUCUUUUUCCCGCGCGUUUCGUGUUCGAUUCCUCUCGAAUUUGUUUCACUGGUGCACUAAACCUCUAAUGCACUUAUAUUCAUAUAAAUAUUAUUCACUCUCAAUCGUCCCAAAAUAAGGGUCUAAAGUUCCUGAAUUUAAAUCGCGCGUGUGAAAACGCGUAUCUCCAAUUUAAGCGCGAUAACGCGAAACUUCCGAGAAAUUCUUAUAACGAUAGUACUAAUAACUAUCACUUGAGUAUUUAAACAUUAAAAUACCGAAUUUAGGUCCAUUGUACAUGUCUCCAAUAUUCCAAACUUAUUGUACUCUCAAGCGGAUAAAAUCUCCAAGCACUAUUCACUAUUUUUACUAAACGCGCUCCAGGAAAUUAAUUCGUGAAAUGAGUUACUUUAAAAAUAUAACGAAGUUAUAUUACCAUGCAUUUAGGUCUAAUAAGACUAGAAAAUAUUCCUCGAGGCAAAUAUCCAAUUAAAUAAUUUAUUAAGCCACAAAUUAGGCUUAAAAAUAAUAGUUUUUACGAGUCCUCACAAUCUAUCUGAAAUGUUACGAUUUUGUGCUUGGCAUAGUCUGGAUAGAGUGUAAAAAUGAGUUCUAUAUCAAUGAAUUGUGUGCUUCAACUAAUUUGAGUUUAAAAAUUUUCAAUUUUUACUAGUUAAUUAGUUAGCAUAUGAAUUAUUAGUUCUUACUUUUGUUGUUUAAAGUUAGCUACUAUUUUGCUUCUUUGUUUUGAAAUGUAAUUUAAUGGACACAUAAUUAGACGUGACUAAAAUAUGUUAGUAAUUGAAAAAAAAUUCUUCAAAUGUCCUAAAUCUAUUAGUAAAAUGGAUAUAUUAGGGACCAGAUUUGCUCUUGCAAAAAUUUUAGGGACCAAAACUACACAAUUAUGUUAUUAAUUAUAUUAUUAAAUAUAAAGAAUUGGAUUAUAACUAAAUUAUUAUAUUGUAUAUAUAUAUGUAUUAUAUAUGCAUCUAUGAAUUUAAAUAUAUACAUAUUUUCGUAUAUGGGGGAUGGGGUGGGUGUAUGUUACCCUGCCCCCCGCCCCGUUUUAAGGUAGGGGAAAAUUUUCUCCCCCAGCCCUGUCGCAUCCUCCUCCCUAUUUCUAUCCUCAUGGACACUUGCCCUUGUUGCCACCCUUAGCUUUAAGUACCCUUAUUUUUGAGUAAAUUAAACGUAACCUUCUAUGGUUCCACUAAUUGUCAUAUAACUACCAUAAUAUUUCAAAUAACCUCUAUAACAUCAUUAUUUCAAAUACUAAUAAUGUCCUUAUUUAAAUGAUAAAGCGAAUAAAUGUUUAACCACCUUGGAUAAAACCGCAAGAAAAUUAUGUGGAUAAACGUAAAAAAAUACAAUGAGGCAAAAUGCAUAUUUAUUUAAAUCAUAGAGGGUUAAUUGGAUUUUAUGAUUCCAUCACACAAGUUUUUGGGAGUGCAUUUGGUUUAAACACCUAACCAAUGGUGCAUUCCUUCCAUUUUCUACUUUACAUAAAAUUACAUGAAGGUUAUACAACUAUUAUGAAACUUUAGAGGUGUUAUGUGGCAUUGAAGAAAAUUAUAGGGGGAUUAUAUGUAAUUUAUUCUUUUUUUACAUGAAUUGUAGGUAUAUAAAUUAUUUUAAUGCUUUUUCGACAAAAUGAUAUAGAACUUUGGGGGGGGGGGGUUGGUCAAAUGAUGUUGUAAUCAAUAGAGAGAAAUUUGAGAAGGAAUAUGAGGGUCCAAAUCUUAUGUACUAGAAACUAGUUUCCUGAAUUUUAAAAAAGAAAGUUAAUUAGUGAUCCUCUCUUCAUAUUCUUUUUUUUUAAAUUUUUAACUCAAUAGAACUUAAAAUUUGCUAGCGCCAUACGUUAAUCAAACAAAUUGCAAAACCAAUCGUUCUUGAUUGCCCACAUGUUGUUAAACCUUAUCUCCAGCAUUCGUUCUUGAUUGCCCGCCUAAUUUACCUAGAUUUUGUCACCUUUAGAAGUGAAAAUAUAGUUUAUUAGUUUGAUUUUGACCUUUUACUAUUGACUAUUACUUUUAUUGAAAAAACUAAUAGUGAAAUUUUAACCUAAAUCAUGAGGAAGCUAUAUAUAGGUUUUUUUCAACCAUAUGAGAGUUAUGUGGUAAAGUACCAAAUCAUAGGGGAUAAAAUAUAAUUUACUUAACUUAAUAGGGAAAAUGUACUUUUCAUCCCCAUAUGAGAGUUAUGUGGUAAAGUACCAAACCAUAUGAGAGUUAUGUGGUAAAGUACCAAAUCAUAGGGGAUAAAAUGUAAUUUACUUAACUUAAUAGGGAAAAAUGCACUUUACAUCUCCAUUAUUUAGGAUGUUAGACAAUUUCAUUCCUAAAGUUUGAAUCAAAACACAUUUCAUCCUCAUAAUUUUAUAAUUUUGACCAAUUUCAUCCCUAAAAUUUCAUGCAAACACAUUUCAUCCUAAUAGUUUCAUAAAUUUGACUAAUUAAGGACAAUUGAUAGAUUGUCAAGUAAUUUGAAUGAAAUAUCAUCACAUGACCAUAGAGUACCGAAUAGUAAAGUACAAAAAAAAACACUGGAUCAACAAAAAAACUCAAAAAUUAUUUUAUAAUUCACUUUAUUAUUUAAAAAAUAAUAAAUUUUUAACCACUGUUACUCUCUUCUUAAUCACAAAUUGUACAAAAAGUUUGAGAGGAAAUGACGUCAUGGACAAGAAACAACCCUAUUAUAGCCAAUUGAAGAAAUUUUUCAAACAAUCCCAUUGCAACCAAUUGGAGAAAAAUAUUAACGUGAAAGAAAGAAUUUUUAGAUUGUCAUUUAUUAUGCAAAAUUUUGUUUUGUUGCAUCAUAUAUUUUGUUGGAGAAAAAUAUUAACGUGAAAGAAAGAAUUUUUAGAUUGUCAUUUAUUUUGCAAAUUUUUGUUUUGUUGCAUCAUAUACAUGUUUUUCAAAUUGUUUACCUAUCAUCUAAUCUAUUUUUUUUAUCUCACAUAUAUCAUAUCAUAAUUUUUUUUUAAAAAAAUCUCUUAUUUGAACACACUCAUUAUUAUUUAUGUAAUUUAAUAAAGGGUAAAUGUAACGACCCCACCUCCCCCUAAGGCGUACCAAAGGGUUCGGCGGACCGCCUGCCCAGCUCUCGCCAGGACUCACUCACUUACUACAUUCCACAAGUAAAUUACAAGGUACAACUCAAAUAAUACAUCCAAUUCUCCAAAAUUACAUAUCAUAAGCGAAGCGGAAACUAGUUCUAAGCAUAAAAUAUAGAUUUACAUCCGAUUCAAUUCCAAAUAUUUAUACAGCCCAAAAGUACAUAAACCAAAACCAAAACUAAACUAUACAAGAUGUACGCCAUCCAGCCACCCAAAGAUCCAAAUACAAGUUCUUCCUUUACCUCGAUCCCUGUGGGGAGAAGAAGAUAAUAGGGGGUGAGCUAGAAGCUCAGCGAGUGACCAGUAAAAUCAACAGCCAAGUAUAUUUCACAAUCAAGCAUUGAUAUGAUGUCAUGAUGCAGUAAUCAAAUGUUCAUUUAUUGCUCAUGUGAGCCAGUGAAAUUCUUGUGCUUAAAUAUCCAAUGCUCGUUUAGAUCAAGUAACCGUGAAACAGAAGUAAGGAGCCAUCGGGCUCCAAAGAAUGUGUAAACAAUAGUGGAGACAUUGGUUCUAAGCACAAGACUUUCCAGGAACUCAUUGGAGCCAAUUAUGUCAUGGCACACACCCGAACCCCAAAUGAUAUGCAAUGGAGUAAUAAAUGCAAGAAUUAGUUCAAAAGUAACUUUGGGGACAGUCGAGGGAUCACUCACUCAAACUAUAGUGCUUCACGUAGUCACGUUCAAUUAUACUCCAGGUUUGGAGUCCAGAUCUGCGAUAGAAAUCCAAUUUGAGAACUUUGAAACACGAGUAAGAUUUGAAACUUAAACGUUCCGUUCAUAAGAAUCAACCAAUUGAAAUUCAUUUGAAAGGCAUUCGUGAAACACUUGCUCGCUUUUCAAAUCAUAAGGUUUUUUUGUAGCAUAUAUACUUGGAAACAAUACUUGAGUUAAAAGUACAAGGAAAUACAAGUUUACAUUGGCCAUUAUAUCUUUUCCUCAAGAGUACAAGUUCGUUUAGGUUUUUAACGUAUAACCAUUGAUAACAAAGUAGCAAAAGUUCUCGCUAGUUCAAGUGGUAAUCACUUAACCUUCACUCAAGUUGCAAAUAUAGUUUUCUAGUUCUCGAGUAAAAAUUCGGCAGCAUGCCCUUUGUGUUUACCUAAUUUUCCAGCCAUUUAGGCUUCAUUAUUUUUCUCAACCAAAACCCAACAUCACAUAUAUCAGCAAUUCAUGACAAGAGCCGUUCCAUAGGCUCACAAUAUCAUAAUAAUAAGAUUCACAACGAUAGCAAGUGCAGAAAUUCAAUCUAGCACAAAACAGAUUUGACGUAUGAAAGCGGAAAUAACAUAUCCGAGGCUACGCUUAUCGGAUUGAGGUGCAACCUAUGCCGUUUCGAAGCUAAGACACAGGGCUACAAUGUUCAUGAAGGUCACUUAGUCCAGUUUCUAAUGUAACUUGGUCAAAUUCUCAAAAUACUAAACCAGAAACCAAUUCAUCGGCUGUUUAAACGCAGAACACUGUAAUGGUCAUAACUCAGUGUACACAAGUCCAAAUCAUGUGUUCUUAGAGGCAUUUUAAAGCUACUUCAGAACACUACAACUUUCAUGUUUUGGCCCAGAGCUAAAUCAGAAUGGAUCCUGGUCAAAAAUCGUGAUAAACUGGACCUAACUGCUGAAACGGACUGCUGGGAAAUACUUAAAACAGUAGGGGUAUUUUGGACUUUUCACGUCCUGCGUUGCUCCGAUUGAGCUGAAAUUUUGUAGGCACCUAUAAAAUGCCAUUCUCUACAACCUUUCUUCUUUGACCUAAGGCCAAAUCAGCCUCUAACACACAGAUAAAAAUUCGGACAGAAUGUGGAGAGAAUUUUCCAGAUUUUGGAAUUUUUGAGUUUCUAGUGAAUCUUUCCUUAAUUUCUUGGUCCAAUCACUACCAAAACACCAUAUAACACCUCAAUUGCAACAUAUAAACAUCAUACAAUCAUUUGGGCAGAAUUUCCACAAGCCCUAGUUCAUCAAAUAAAUUGGGGAAAACUACUAAAACAUGCUCAUCAUCCAUGAUCUCACCAUAAAAUCAAGUUACUAAGCUUAAUUAAACAAGAUUAGAAGUGAAACUUGGAGAGAUAAACUCUCUUACCUUGAAUAAAAGUCACCAAGAGUAGCACAAGCUCUCCCCUUCAAGAAUCACACCACAACUCACUAGCUAGUCACUAGAAAACAAGUUUAAUCGGUUUACUUCGCUCGAUUCCUCACUUAUUUGUUGGAUUUGGAGAUGAAAUGAAAGAUUUUCCCUUGGAGUUUCUCUUCUUGUUGUUCUCGGCCAGCAGCACCCAAAAUGAAGAAGAAAAAUGCUAAGUGUUGGAGUUAAAUGGUUGGGGUUAGUCUUGGGUAAGAAGCCAUGAGGUGGUGACAAGUGUCACCACCACCACCUUUCUUUUUUCUCUUUCCUUCUUGUUAUUUCUAGCCUCAUAAUUUCGGUCAAGGCUGCUACAAUAUAAGAAGAUAUUAUGUGCAAAAGUCAACAAACUUGUUGGGUAAGAAAAAUUGUGGUCAAGCAGUACGUUCAAUCGGUAAUGCGCGGGACCCGCCGGAUCGCGCCGUUUUUCUUAAAAACUCACGUACUAGGUUUUUCACUUCCCAUUCACAAACCUUAUAUCAUUGCCACUAGUCACAUCUUAUUUCUCACUUAAAAGUCACUUUUAAUCCCCAAAUUAAUUCUUACUUUGUACCGAAAAUUCAUUCGGCUAAAAAUCGCGAAAACCCUAAUUCCGCUCCAAACUUGAAACCGAAGCGUAAAACCCUAUUUUCUAGGUCUAUUUACACUUAGAGUGAAAUAUUUGGGUAGUGGCCUUUGAUAAAUAAUAAUUUUCAAAUAAAAGGGUAUUUUAGUACUUAUUGGGCCUUAUCGGAAAGCCUUAAAGAGUUGGCUCUUUAAGCUCUUUAUGCGGACCGAAUUUCUUCCAGAUUUAUUUGGGCCGGAUUCCUCACAAAACUCUAUUCACCAGAAAUUUUUCCUUUUCUUCUGCCUCGGGGCGUUACAGUAAAAUACAUAAAACCCCCAUGUGGUUAAGGAAAUUGAUACGAAACUUCCUCAUUAUUCAAAAACUCCCACAUAACCUCCUUGUGCUUUGGACUAAUUUGGAAAAUGGACGGAAAUCAUCCAAAUUGAUGGAAAGAUAUAAAUUUCCUAUAUUAACCCUAUUUACAAACUGAAUCAAAGUUUAACUCAAGUCUCAAUUAAAGUUUUAAAAACUUUCUUCCUUCAUUUGAAACAAAGGUAGAACUAAGGGGCUCAUUUGAAAUUUUAUAAGAUGUAUCAUCUUCUUCAAGGAAAUGUCAGAACGUUCUGGGCUUUGCGGUCAUUCCGGCUUCAUCCUACAUACCAUCUUCGAGCUUCCUAGCUUCGGAGCUAAGACGCCGCCAAAGAAACAGAGAUGGAUAUCUCGCGGCAUGCUCCUAGUUGCUCUUAGUAGAUAGCCAGGCUUUAUACUUCCCAACGACUUAUAUUGAUUCGUUCCCGGCCUUGAGAAAUGCCCCACCGUGCCUUAAGAAGGUCUGAUUCUUUGGCAGUUGAACAGGCAGGCGCCAGAUCCCGCCCAAGUGACAUAGAUUUAGCUAUUUUAGUGGGGUUCAUCCUUCUGUUUCCUCAAAUCAAGUUUACUCCGUCAAAUGGUUUGAUGCCCAAUUCUACUUUUUUUCUUGAAUUUGAAUCACUUCCUCUUUAUCGUCAUUCUUCUGUUUAACUGCGUUCUGGGCUUUGCGGUCAUUCCGGCUUCAUCCCACAUGCCAUCUUCGAGCUUCCUAGCUUCGGAGCUAAGACGGAGCCAGGGAACUCAACCCGUCCAUUGCCUUAUUUGAAGUGGAAUCAGCAGCAUAUUGGCAUCAAAGGCCUUCAUACCAUUCUCUUUGAAUGCUCUAGGCACUCAGCCUUUUAUACGGUGGAUCGGCUGAGGUCUAUCGGCCUCGCCUUGUUCACCAUCUUUGGAUUCCGGCACAGCAGCAUACUCGCUACUGUCUCUGCCGCCGAAUCAGAAUCGAUCUCUGAAGGAAUGGUACUUGUUGUUGUUGGCGUUGUUUUUCCCAAUCCCCUCUCCCUGGAGGGCCGCUAUUCUGCUUCUUUGCAUUCACGAUCAAUUGGUGUUACGUUGGGAUCAAUUGAUCGAGAACUUUUUGUCAAUUUUUGAGACUAUUAGAUUGAGAAUUUUUAUUGUUAUUUUGUGCUCUAUCUAAUUGGAAAAUUUUUGGUGUUAUUUUGGGAUCAUUGAGUGUUGAAAGAUUGGUGGUAGAGUUGCUGGUGAUUGGUGGUGAUGGUGGAGCUACUGGUGAUCAGUGGCGGUACUGAUGAUGAUUGGUGUUCACUGGAGUCGUUGACCAUUUUGGUGUUAUUGACCAGUUUGGUUGCGAGCAGGAAAGAAACGGAGAAGGAAAAUAAACAAAAAAAAAAUUGACAAAACACUGCAAAAUACUAAAUUGUCCUUGACAAUAUCACUUGAAACUCCCUUAAUAGACGAGCUUAUCUCAAACGCCGUUAAUUUGGAUGAUUUCCGUCCAUUUUCCAAAUUAGUCCAAAGCACAAGGAGGUUAUGUGGGAGUUUUUGAAUAAUGAGGAAGUUUCGUGUCAAUUUCCUUAACUACAGGGGGGUUUUAUGUAUUUUACCCUUUAAUAAAUAACCGAAUUAGGUAUUAACAAUACAAUUAUUAACGGGACAUGUUAGUCAUGUGAUGAUAUUCUGCUUAAAUUGGUUAAAAAUCAUUCAAUUGUCCUAAAUUGAUCAAAUUUAUGAAAAUAUGAGGAUGAAAUGUAUUUGCAUGAAAUUGAUUAAAAUUAUAAAAUUACAAGGAUAAAAUGUGUUUGGACUGAAAUUGUUCAACACCCCAAACAUUGGGGAUGGAAAGCGCAUUUUACCCUAACUGAAUAUUAGCUAGCCCUUACAUUGGUAGAGCAAAUGGGUCAGUGGUUGCUCUUGACCGCCAACAUACUUUUUUUUUUCAUUAAGUGUAAGCGGGAGAAUUCGAAUCCGAAACUUCUCGUUUACACUCCCUCCCCCCGUACCACCCAAUCCAACCCACCCCCACGUAGAUCAUCUACACUUUUGCUCCUAAUUGCCAGCAUAAACCAUAUCUUUUGAUUUUCCAAUAAAUACUGCAAAAGAAAAAAAGAAAAAAUGACGUGUCCUUGUAUACUACUAGAAGAUUAUUGAUUGUGCGCCCAGAUUUGUCUAGUUUAGGAAAAAAAAAUUAGAGUGAAUUGAAUCGAAUUCAAAUUUUGUGCUUAGUGAUAAUUCCUAAAAGAGAACGAAAUAUAGAUUUUGAGUGUAAAAAUAUUUUAAGAAAUAGUGAUACAUAUUGUAAGUUUAUUAGCACAAAGUAAUUAUAAUACUCAAUGAUGAAUGAUCAGCAGAUUUGGGAAGGAAAGAGCAGAUUGGGGGAUAUUUGAUCAACAUAUCCAACAUUCGCUACAUUUACCAAACAAACCAUAUUAAUAUAGGUUUACAUAUUAUCUCUUAUCAAAAUUUAAAAUUGAUCGUUUGCUAAAUAAAGAUUAAGACACAAAAAGAUAAAGAGUAAUACUAUACAGUACAUUAACAAAAUCAAGCAUUAUACACAAUACAUACAAUAAAUAAGGAGGUAAGACACAGAAGAUGAUUAACUUCUCUCACCGUCACGGAUGUCGAAGGGGAAAAAAUUUACUAAUAAAAAAUAAAAAACAAAAGCAGUUUUGUCCACAACAGAGAGGGUGCAAACCAGAGAAAGGGGAAUGAUUUAUGUUUUCUUCUUCUUCUUCCCCCAUAGCUGGCGCUCUCUCCAUUCCCCAUCAUCUGUAUAGCAACCAAUGACAAUUUCAGGAAUGUGUGCGAUUCUUCUGUAAUCUUCACUUUCUUCCUUCUGAUUCUCUACCUUUUCUAUCAUUUCAGAACUCAUCUCAUACAAAUACAGCCCUUGAAGAUGGCUCAAGUGCUGAAUACCCAAAGGUAACUCAUCUAGUAAUGGAAGUUGUUCCAGAAUGAGUUCAUGGAGACGAGGCAAUGCACCCUCCUCCACUCUCAUCCAUCUCAACCCUUCCAUUCUCUUUAGGUGCAACUUCUUCAGAUUGAGGAACCCUCCAGCUUGGAAACACAACCCUUCUCCCUGGUAAGAUCCACAGAAAUUAAUUUUACCCAAAUUCGGCAAAUGUCGGAGGGAUUCAAGCGUAUCCUCAUCACCCCUUAACCUGCUCCAAUUCAAAUCUAUUCUUACCAAGCCGUGAAGAUGAGCUACCCAUUGUGGCAUCUUUUCUAAGCGGCUACACAAAAUCAGCAGAUGAAGAGAUUGAAGAAAAGAAGAAGAAGAAAAGGAAGAAGGAUGAUGAUGAUUUAGAUCGAUUAUCUCAUGAUCAUGAUCACCUUCUCCAAUUGAUUCAAUGCUUAAUCUAUGGAGACUGGUGAGGUUGGCAAGGGAGGAGCAGAGCUCCUUUCCAUCUUCUCUUCUUAACUUUGUAAUACCUAAUUCUCUUAAUUGGGUCAGCUUUCCUAUCUCCUUGACUACUGCAGAUCCACUACCAGCAUCUAUGUUAUCCAAUAUUUCUAGGGCAAGAAGCGCUCCCAUAUUCGAGGGAGCUUUAAAUCCAUGAAAUCCAUAAUCAUCAUCGGAAGAAUCAACUUGUUGAUAUACUUUGAGAACCCGAAAUUUUUGCAGCUUUAGGAUUUCCAUGGGUAAUUCCCUAACUCUUGUGUCAGCCAAAUUCAGAUACUCCAAAUGUUGAAGCUUGCCAAUGGCUUUCGGGACUCUCUCCACUCUCGUACCCCCUAGGUGUAGAUACUUGAGAUGAAACAUCUUGAAAAUCUCAUUUGGUAUUUCCUCCUGGGUCUCUUGACCACCCAAAUCCAAAACCUUUAACAGCUUACUACUCCUUAAAACAUCAGAUAACAACAGUUUGAAUAGUAGCGGGCUCAUGGAUCCAAAUGUAACGAACGACUGAAGGUGGUCAAAGCAGUAGCUUCUUCUUUGUUGGUGGUCCUCCUGGGUGUUGUUACUACUACUAGUAUGGAGUACUAGACGGCGUACCUUGUCGGACGGCCGCAUCAUUGGUUGUCCAGUAGUAAUUGUGACCAUGUUUUGUUCCCUUGACUUGAGAACAAUAACUUCUCUCAACAGGUCAUGGAUUCGACAAUUGUCGGGUAAUCCUUCAUAAUACACCUUAGUCACUUGAAUUAGGCUUCGAUUGACGAGUUCACUAAGACAACCCCAGGCUACAUCUUCAAUACUCAUUCCUUCUCUCCAUUCUACGAACCUUUCAGCAAUCCACAAAUUAAUGAGUCUAUAGCAUUGUAUUUCGUAAUCCUUUGGGAAGAUACUUGUGUACAACAGACACGUCUUUAAAUGCCCAGGCAAAUCAUUAUAACUGAGAGAAAGUAUCCUUUUAACUCUGUCCAGCUUACCAGUGCCUUCUAAUUCACCCCCAAGACUGCGUUGAACCAUCUCCCAUUCCUCUAUUCUGUUUACAUCUUUCAAAGCCAAAAACCCACUGAUUGCAAGAAUUGCAAGGGGCAAGCCCUCACAUUUUUCCAGUAUACCUUUGGCAACAUCCGUCAAAUGGCCAGGGCAACUAUUUCCCUUAAAGAUCUUGUUACAAAACAGGGUCCACGAAUCUUCAAAGGACAGUGGCUCCAUUCUGUGGAUGUAGCCUAGAGAUUCUGUACAAGAGGCAAAGGCUACAUCAACUUUUCGAGUUGUUAGCAUGACACGGUUGCCGUGGCUGCUCUUGGGCAGCGCAAAUUUGAUGGUAUUCCAAAAUUCCACGUCCCAUACAUCAUCAAAAACAAUUGCAUACCUUCCAGCUUGUUGAAGAAAAUCUUUGACAAAUUCUUUCAGCUCGGUGAUAUUCAAAGACUCGAUCGAUUGUGGGACUGGUUUCCUCCCUUCCUUGUGCAAGUGCCGAAUCAAGUCUUUCAGGAGGUACUGAAAGUCACAUGUUUGAGAGACAGUUACCCAAGCACGAGCUGGGAAAUGCCUUCUGACUUCAAGAUCCUCAUGGACUUUUUUCACUAGGGUAGUUUUUCCAAGUCCUCCCAUACCAACCACUGAAACAACUUUUAGUUGGUAAUCAUCCCCUUGGAGGAGCUGAGAAAUUAGAUGUUUCUUGGGCUGGUCAAUGCCAACUAAUUUAGCUUCUUCCACAAGCAGUGCGUCAUCUCUGCUAUAGCGCCAGGUUGUGUUGUUCACAGCAGAAAGUGAGUUGGUCACUUGGGCACAGAUACCAUAUUCGGAUUGGUAUCUUUGAUGACCUUCAGAAAUACUUUCGAUUCUGGACUUGAUGCUUUGUAUUUCGCUGGCAACUCGAUGACGAGCUCUCAAAUUCUUGAUGGAGCUGAAAAUUCUCCGAACAGAGCCGUAGAAUCCUGUUGUGCGAUGCCGGGCAAAGCGAGCUACAAAUUCAUCAAGAAUGUCUUCAGUGUCAUAAGCUGCUUCUAGCACUUGCUUGAUCCAUUCUUGGAGCUGUUGAAUUCAAAGUCUUGAAUUCUUCAAGCCUUAAUUGUUGACUUUUCUAAGGCCAACAAUUGUUGAAUUUGGUGGCCUAAUAUCUGUCCUACAUCGGUGGGAUUAUUGGAAGAACCUUAGCUUGAGAGCUAUAAAUAGCUCUCAAGUCCUUCCAAUUAAAUUGUACCAAGAACAACAAAGAAUUACCCAUAAGGAUUUUGUAAUUCUUUGUAUUCUUUCUUCUCUCCUAAAUUAUAAAAGCAGGUCACUUGAGUGGUGCUCGGAGAGUAGGCAAAAUUGGCCGAACUCCAUUAUCAAUUUUUCGGGUGCGUUCUUUCCUUAUCUCUUUUAUUUGUUCCGCAUUAUUUAUUAGUCUCUUUUCUAUUGUAGUAUAGUAUUCAAUAUAUUUGUCGGGUAUAUUUGUAGUGUUUUAUACGGUUCAUUUGGGUGUAUUUUUCUUAUUCGUGUGUACGUAUUAUUUAUGUAUACACGGGUAUAGUUGUGAUAAUACACCGUGCACGUAAGUUCUGUCUAGGAGACUGGGUUUUAAGUGGGACCGCUUGUGACCCCUCCAGCCUUUCCUGGAAAUUUACUUGGAAUGGUAAUUCUGUCUUAGGAGAUUGUUUCGACGAUCUUUCCUGAGAAUUACUGAAUCGGUUUAAUCACUAGUUGUAUUUUUGAGUGGGAAAUUACCCGAUUUCCCCAACAAGCCUGGGUUGAGCAUCUUCUUCUUUUGCUUCUGCCUCUCUCAGGAAAGCUCUCAUGUGCCCCAACUCAUCCAUGAUGAAUUGCACCUCUUGCCGAAGCCCUCCCAAUAGUCGUCCCUCCUCGCGCAGAAAAGUUGAGAGUUGACGCAGCACAAAAGAGAGAACUGUUUCUGCCAUUUUCAGUCUUUCUUUCUAACUUAAGAAUGUUGGGGAAGGCGGCUUCUGGUUUAUAGGACAGUCCACUUCUUGUAUCUUGAAAGGAAGAAGGAAGAGUAGGUUAUAGAUUCAUAAGCUGAUGAACUUUGAUACUAUAUGGUGCAGUAUACAUCACAAACAAAAACCGCGUCAAACAGAAAAAGAAAGAAUUAACCAAUUAGAAGAAACUAAAGCAAGAAACAGGAUGGAAAUUGAAGACAAGAAGAUAGGCAGCAAGGUGAGUUUGAAAGACGAAGCUGCCUUACCUGCUUACAAUACAAAAUCGUUGAAGCUAUUAAGAAGAUCAGCCUUCAGCUUCAGGACCUUCUUUCAACUGUGGGUCCUUCGGUAGGAUAAAGAUGAAGAGUGACUACCGCAGCAUCGUGCAAAGGCAAUGAUGUCGAAUUAUUUAACAAGGGAAGGAAUAAAGCAAUGGUGUCUGACCAAGUUUUCGGUAUGGACAUGAACGCGUUUUUUAUGUAGUUAAUAAAGAGGAGAGAGCACAAGAGAAUGAGAUCUACUUUAAAUAAAGAAAACCCCAAAAUGAAAAUGACAGUUCUGACUGAAAUGGAAGCCAGCUAUGAGUUUUCCCGGAACAUGUGAUGCAGAGGAAGGAGUUGAACAGAAAAGGCAACUCAAGACCUAAGUUCAAUUGACUAGCAAUAGCAAUAACUUACAGUUAAAGUGCAAUUGUUCAAUCAUAUCUUCAUUUUUGGUGAAGAAUGGGAAGGUGGAUACAUAGGUGAGAGCCAAAAACCCCAUUUUGGAAACCGGAAAUAAAUUACUUUAGUCAUUCAAUAAGAAGUAGGUCUAGAAUUACAAGAGAACUAUCUAAAUACUGCAUAUCAUUUCUUUUUUUUUUUUCCCCCUUUGAUUAUACUCAGUUUUUCUUUUGGCAAAACCCCAAGUUGGGGGAGGGAACUCAGUUAUAUAAACAUAGUUAUACAUAUUUUAAAAUUCAUAGUAAAAGUUCACAUGAAGUGUACAAAUUCACUCAAAACUAUGGGUUAUAAAAACAAACAUUAAAUGUGCAUUUUCAUAUUCUUUCAUGAGUAUACGUGAUUUUUUUAAUUUGAAUCACUGAUUUUGCGCACAUAAUCUUAAUUUUAUUAGUCUGUGAACAUUAGGUGGUUGGCCUGUCCUUCCGCUCUCACGAUGUGCUGAUAAAAAGAUGAAUAUGCUGUGACUGAUGAUGUUUCAACUACACCUCUCUCAGUUUGUGUUUUCUAAUUUUAAAAAUUUUUAAUUGAUAUAUCAAGUAAAGAUUUUCUUUUUCCUUUUUUUCCCCUGGCUUUCUAGACAAGGUUGAAUGUGAAGAAAGAAGUGAGAAUGAAAAUAUUGGAGAUGGAUAAAAUUAAAUGCUCAGCAUAAGACAAUUGAGGUAACGUUUAAGUGUUUAACUACUGAGCCAAAUCUCAUCACCACCAUCUUAUCAUGUCUAAUUAGUCUUUUAGUUCCUUGUAAUGUUAAAAAAAAAAAAAUGGAACCAAAUGGGAGCAUGGAAUCUGUCCUUUUGCAGGAAUAAUUAAUUUGUGGGAAAAUCUUGCUGCAUAUCUGCAUGUACUAAAUAAAUAUUGACUAUAGUAAGCGAGAGUGUAUCCUUGUAAAGAAGAUUUUUAUGUAGGGAUACGAAAAAAGAGAAAUUUGAAACAUGUGGUUGGAUUGGUUUUUCCUGAGUUUAAAGAGUCAUAGGCUAAAAAAGUAGUAGUAAUUCAAUUCUUUUUUCAAAUCCUAGUUCAAAGCCAUAAUUAACUAUUGUACAGUCAUAAUUUGGAAUCAAAUGUGAUCAGGUGCAUUAUUCGAGCUACUGUACGUAUGUGAAACAAAAGAAGAAAUAAAGUCACAAAGUUUUCCUAGUGAUCAAUAGUACGUACUACUGCUUCCUAGAAACAACAUAAGAAAGGAGAUAGAGAGAGACACUAUCGAUAUAUAAAGUUCUGUCAAUAUUUGUCAUUUAUAUAUAUAUAUUUUUACUAUAGAUGAAUUGUUAAAGCCAUGUGGGAAAAUUAAGAAUGGAAUUACACUAAUGUGUUUCAUUCCAAAGCUAAUUGUAUUGUCAGAAAUUAAAUAAUUCUAUUUCAUAAUUUAAAAUAAAAUUUGAUGCAAUAAAAAUUCUUUUUUUGAAUAUGAGACCUUGAUUAUGACAAUACAUGAAUACCCUCAAUGAUAUUAGAAAGUGCAUUCAAAUUUAGGGACUGACAUAGUCCUAAUUAUUUUGUAAGAAGAGUAAUCUUGAAAAGAAAUAACUUAACACUCAACCAUCAAUACAAGCUCACUCUUUUAGCAAAGACUAGUUGGGACGGCCUGCGCGUUGCGCAGGAGGGCGAAUAUUUCCCGUGUUAAGUUGCACAAGUUUUAGUUAUUGUAUAUUUGUUGUAGUAUAGAGAAUUAUAUAGGUGGUAUAAGUUUGGCUUGAAUUAUAAAAUAAUAGUGCGGUAAAUUGGUUGGGUGAAUAUAGUGUUAAUAGUUUGUGAAGUAUGAAGGAUAUUUUGUAAUAUAAUGGUUAAUAAAGUACUAUAAUUGAGACAAUGCAGUGUCAACAUUUUGUGUGGUAUGAUUUGUAUAAAUUAUGUGGUUUGGGUGAGAUAAUUAUAAAGAUACCCAUUUAUAUUUAUGUAUAUCUCUAUUACUCACUAAGUUCCAUAAAUAUGGGCCUAUUUCUUUUUUUUUUUGCACAAAUUAAAACAUUUAAUCAAUAUAAUCACAAGAAUUGCUUUUCUUUCAUUUUUUUGUAUAAUGUCACUCACUAAUAUUAGAUCAUUAAUCCACAUUAAGAGCCAUGUAUUAUUACAUUGUUUUUGAAAUUUACAAUACUUUAAUUUUUUUAAUGUAAGAAACAAUGUAAUUAAUGUUGCAUGUUUGACUAAAAGAAUAAUAAAAAAAUAGCAUACAACAUUGCUUUUCAAUUUAGAGUAAUUUAGAGCCAUUAGGAAAAAUGAAUAUAUACACAUUAAAUUUAGAGCCAUUAGGAAACAUUUUACAAUAAUUAUAUAUAUACAUUAAAUAUGGAUAUUUAUCUAACAAUAUAAAAGCGAGAGUUGCCCCAUGAACAAUAUUUUUUUGUCAAGCGGUUAUCCUGCAAUUGUUAUUGGAUGCCCGGACUAUUAGUAAAUAACAUAUUAAUUAUUCUUUUCUAUAGAACGAAAAAUAAGAAUAAAAACAAGGGCAUUAAAAAUUUGUAAUAAUUAUAUAGAGUAAUACGGAUAUAUAGACUAAUAUAUCUUUAUAAUUGUAUGUUUUAAAAAAUAGUAGGAUUAGAAACCAUUUUUAGUCCAUGACACCUUAACCGAUUUUGGUUAAUUGUGAUAACAAUGUUGGACGUCAUUUUUUUUUUUUUACUGCUGUUCAACUUUUGGGAAUCAUUCAGUCAAAAGCUACUACUGAACAUGCUAAACAAUCACUGUAUUCAACAAUUUUACAGAGCACUAUUUUAUUUCUUUUUUUGCAAUAUAUGCAUUCAUUUUUUUCCAAACAAUUUUUAUUUCAUGUCGUACUAAUAAAAUCUAUUUUUUAAAGUCAUUAAAGCCAAUAAUAAUUUAUUAAUUAUUUCCUCAAUAAUUGUGUAAUUACAGAACACUCAACAUUAAUUAGAUUGUUUCUUACAUUAAAAAAAUAAAGUACUGUAAAUUUCAAAAAUAAUGUAAUAAUACAUGGCUCUUAAUGUUGAUUAAUGAUCUAAUAUUAUUGAGCGGCAUUUUACAAAAAUAUGAAAGAAAAAUAAUUGUUGUGAUUCUAUUGAUUAAAUGUUUUAAUCUGUGCAAAAAAAAAAGAAGGAAAAAACCAACAAAUACAGUGAUUAUCAAGAAUAAGAAACAGAUAGAAAUGCGUGAAACCUCAGAAUAAAAUUAGAAAAAAUAUAUUAAUCCAACUUGAUUAUCAAUUUUUAUUUUUAGCCCAGAUUAUUUGUAUGAUUCUUGAGCUUUAUCUGACUGAAUUAGAGAAAAUCUAUACAAGUUCAGAAGCUUAACUGCUGCGACCCUUUAUUGCUCUUCGUAUAGAUACAUAGAAAGUUAUGCCUUUGCCUUUCUUUUUUUUCGUUAUUAUGCUUUGGUUUUCAGCUGAGAUUUCAUCACCGUAGCAUUUGACCAGAAGGAUGACUGGAGGCUUCUCAAUGACCAAAAGACCAAAACGCCCCUCAAAGUCACAAAAAUAGCAACAUAACCGCUUGACCAAAAUUCACUAUUCAUUUGGCAACUCUCUCUUUUAUUAUAUAACUAGUUGGGAUGGCCUGCGCGUUGCGCAGGAGGGCGAAUAUUUCCCGUGUUAAGUUGCACAAUUUUUAGUUAUUGUAUAUUUGUUGUAGUGUAGAGAAUUAUAUAGGUGGUAUAAGUUUGGCUUGAAUUAGUUCAGAUAAUAUAGUGUUGAUAUUUUGUAUGAUAUGAUUAGUAUAGAUUAUGUGGUGUGGGUUAAGUAGUUGAACUCACUAAGUUCCAUAAAUAUGGGCCUAUUUCCUUUUUUUUUUGCAAAAAUUAAAACAUUUCAUUAAUAUAAUCACAAGAAUUAUUUUUCUUUCAUAUUUUUGUAUAAUGUCGCUCACUAAUAUUAGAUCAUUAAUCCACAUUAAGAGCCAUGUAUUAUACAUUGUUUUUGAAAUUUACAAACUUUAAUUUUUUUAAUGUAAGAAACAAUGUAAUUAAUGUUGCAUGUUUGACUAAAAGAAUAAUGAAAAAAUAGCAUACAACAUUGCUUUUCAAUUUAGAGUAAUUUAGAGCCAUUAGGAAAAAUGAAUAUGUACACAUUAAAUUUAGAGCCAUUAGGAAACAUUUUAUAAUAAUUAUAUAUAUACAUUAAAUAUGGAUAUUUAUCUAACAAUAUAAAAGUGAGAGUUGCCCCAUGAACAAUAUUUUUUUGUCAAGCAGUUAUCCUACAAUUGUUAUUGGAUGCCCGAGCUAUUAGUAAAUAACAUACUAAUUAUUCUUUUUUAUAGAACAAAAAAUAAGAAUAAAAACAAGGGCAUUAAAAAUUUGUAAUAAUUAUAUAGAGUAAUAUGGAUAUAUAGACUAAUACAUUUUUAUAAUUGUAUGUUUUAAAAAGUAGUAGGAUUAGAAAUCAUUUUUAGUCCAUGACACCUUAACCGAUUUUGGUUAAUUGUGAUAACAAUGUUGGACAUCUUUUCUUUUUUUUUUUUUUUUACUGCUGUUCAACUUUUGGGAAUCAUUCAGUCAAAAGCUACAACUGAACAUGCUAAACAAUUACUGCAUUCAACAAUUUUACAGAGCACUAUUUUAUUUCAUUUUUUUUUUUGCAAUAUAUGCAUUCAUUUUUUUCCAAAUAAUUUUAUUUCAUGUCGUAGUAAUAAAAUCCAUUUUUUAAAGUCACUAAAGCCAAUAAUAAUUUAUUAAUUAUUUCCUCAAUAAUUGUGUAUUUACAAAACACUCAAUAUUAUUUAGAUUGUUUCUUACAUUAAAAAAAUUAAAGUAGUGUAAAUUUCAAAAACAAUGUAAUAAUACAUGGCUCUUAAUGUAGAUUAAUGAUCUAAUAUUAGUAAGCAGCAUUUACAAAAAUAUGAAAGAAAAAUAAUUAUUGUGAUUAUAUUGAUUAAAUAUUUUAAUUUGUGCAAAAAAAAAAAGGAAAAAACCAACAAAUACAAAAGCCAACAAAUUUGCCCUCAAAGUUGCCCAAAAUUAUCUUAUAAGCGCUUGACAAAAAAUUCACUAUUCAUAAGCCAACUCCCUCCGAAAAAUAAUUGUUGUGAUUAUAUUGAUUAAAUGUUUAAAUUUGUGCAAAAAAAAAAGGGAAAAAGCCAACAAAAGCAAACAAAUACAAGAGCCAACAAAUUUGCCCUCAAAAUUGCCCAAAAUUACGCUAUAACCGCUUGACCAAAAAGCACUAUUCAUCCUCCAACUCCCGCUUUUAUUAUAUAGAUAUUGAUUAAAUGUUUAAAUUUGUGCAAAAAAAAAAAAGGAAAAAGCCAACAAAAGCAAACAAAUACAAGAGCCAACAAAUUUGCCCUCAAAGUUGCCCAAAAUUACGUUAUAACCGCUUGACCAAAAUUGCACUGUUCAUCCUCCAACUCCCGCUUUUAUUAUAUAGACUAGUGAGACGGCCUGCGCGUUGCGCAGGAGGACUAAUAUUUCCCGUGUUAAUUGUUUUUUGUUGUAUGAGUUUAUUAGUAUAUAUCUCUGUUAUUAUUUAAUUCAUGCGGAUCAUUAGGGAAUUAUAAUUUUUGUUAAAAGUUAACUAUUAUGAAAUAUAUAGAAUGCAUGAGACCAAUAAUAUAUAGAAUGCAUAAGGAUAAAUUAGAAAAUUGUAUAAGGUUAUUUUACAUUUGGAUCAGGAUAAUUAGAAAAUUGUAAAGUGAAUCAUUUCCAAAGAGUAUUAAUCAUUAUUGACACAAAAAAUAGGGGAUCUUGAAAAUCAAUUAAACACUUGAACCAUAGAACUUGACACUGCUAAAAAUUAAUCACCACAUGUCACAAUAAUAAAACCCAUUUUUUAAAGUUACUAAAGCCAACAAUAGUUUAUUAAUUGUUUCCUCAAUAAUUGUGCAUUUAUAGAACACUUAACAAAUUUAUUCUAUGUUAACCCAACAAUAAUUUAUUAAUUGUUUCCUCAAUAAUUGUGCAUUUACAGAACAUGUAUCAAUUUUAUUUCAUGUCACAGUAAUAAAAGCCAUUUUUAAAGUCACUAAAGCCAACAACAAUUUAUCAAUUAUUCCCUUGGUAAUUUUGCAUUUCCAGAACACUUCAAAAGCAAAUAAUUAACCACAAAAAAUCAACUUUCAUAGGUUUCACUUUUUAUACCACCAAUUAUGAAUUCAGUCAACAUGUCCAAUAAAUACAUCAAAACUAUAGCAGCUGUUAAAAAACAAACAAAUAAUUGAUGAAAAUAGCCCUAACAUCCAAUAACAAUUGCAGGAUAACCGCUUGACAAAAAAAACCACUGUGCAUAGGGCAACUUUUCCUUUAUAUUGUUAGAUAUGUAUAUCUCUAUUACUCACUAAUUUCAAUAAAUAUAGGCCUAUUUCUUUUUCCAUUAAUAUUAGAUCAUUAAUCCACAGUAAAAGACGUGUAUUAUUACAUUAUUUUUCAAAUUUCGAGUACUUUAAUUUUCAAAUGUAAGAAAUAGUCUAAUUAAUGUUACAUGUUUAAAUAAAUAAUAUAAAAAGAUCAGCACACAAUAUCGCUUUUCAAUUUACAGCAAUUUAGAGCCAUUAGAGAAAACAAAUAUGUUAAAAAAUUUUAUAAUAAUUAUAUAUACACUAAACAUGGAUAUAUUAGUAAAAUAACAAACUAAUUAUUCUUUUAAAAAGGAAAUAGACUCAUAAUGUAGCACACAUAGAAGACAAAAGUAAGCUCAUGUUUAUAGAAUAUAUAUAUAUAUAUAGAAUGAAAAGUAUAAUAAUAAAAAUAAGGGAAUUAAAAUUUUUCCAAUAAUUAUAUAAACUAAAUAUGUAUAUAUAGACUAAUAUAUAUCCUUCUAAUUGUAUGUUUGAAAAAGCUAUAGAAUUAGAAACCAUUUUUAGUUGAAACGUAUAUGGCAUCUUAACCAAUUUUGCUUACUUAUAUGACGAUAAUGUUGGACUUGUUUUUUUUUCCCUCUAGCUCAAGAAUUACAGCAUAAUCGCUUGACCAAAAUGGAGCUAUUCAUUAUCCAAUUCUCCCUUUUAUAUAUUUAGAUUAGAUAUAUAUAUAUUGGAGAGCCUGAUAGAGAUUUUCUUCUUUUUUUUUUCUUUUUUUUAUGGUUUUCUUGGUGAGGCGGCCCGGGGUGGGUUGUAUUGGAGAAGAUAAAAGGGCAUAUGGCAGAGCUCUAAAACAAGGCCUGCAGCAUUACUUACAAUAGAGAGCGUACAGGUACAGCUCUCUUUUGUGAGUCCUAGCCCGUGUAGCCCACAUAGCACAAUAAUACAGCUAACAAGCCUCAGUCACAGCCAGACCUUUUUAUUGCCACUGGCCAUUUGGUCUAGUGGUCAUCACCAUUAAAGGUGAUGCUGGAGGUCAGGGGUUCAAUCCCUGCCUCCCACAAAUUUGUCACAAUUUGUGGCGGUCUUAAUUGACCUUCAUCGAUGGAGUCUGUACUCACAUCGAACCCCCUCCCUUUCCCCUUAGACUAGGCUAGAUUAGGUUAUAGGACAUCUAUCGUUUCGAUAAAAAAAAAAACAGCCAGACCUUUUUAUUGAAAUAUAAUGCCAAGAGCCAUCUUAAUAAUUGUUAAUGUCUUUUUCCAGCAAAAGAGAAUCAAUGAAAUAGCCAGCUUAACCGAUUCUUCCUAAAGCCAGAGCCAGCCACAUGACAAAAGACCAAAAUGCCGCUUGACAAUUGCCCUCAAAGUUGCCCAAAAUUACGUGAUAACCGCUUGACCAAAAUUGCACUGUUCAUUAUCCAACUCCCGUUUUUAUAUAGUUAGAUAUAGAUAUAUAUUAGAUACAGAUAUUAAUAAAAGUCAAGAUAUAUUGAUGAAUCUUUGUAAUUAAUAAUGAACACGAUGUUGACAAAAAAAAGUCAAUGGCAGUAGGCAGAAAAGCAGGCAUCAAUGUGCACCAUGUUGAAGGUAACCAUGGUAUAGAUAUAGAUAUUUGUAAUUAACAAGGUAUACCGUGUUGAUCAAUAAAAGUCAACGGCGGGUAAUCACAGAGGAGCUAGAAACCAAAAUGAAAUGAAGGAGAUCAGUAAAUUAAUCACAAGAUGCCCUGAACUUAUAAGGAAGACAAUUAGUGCAAUAAUACACCAUAUUUUAUAGAUGGGAAUCUGCAAGUGGUGGAGUCGGGUAAGAAAAAUUAAGACUCUGCUGAUGCAAUUGUUGGGCUCCAAGCUUCAAAAUAAUGCACUGAUGAGAAUAAUGAGUUGGAGCCAGCAAAAUGAAUUCGAUCAUUUGCAGUAUGAUUAUUGUGGUUAUUUAUUAGUGUGAACACGCGUGAUUGGAAUGAGCAUUUGUUUAUUUAUGCAGAAAAAGUGAUAUUGUUAACGUUAUUUUUUCUAAAUAGCAGCUCGCACAACUAAUUCUAAUGCUUCGCCCAAAUUAAAAAAUAGCUUUUCACUAUUUUAGCAUAGAUAUAGAUAUAGAUACUUGCAAUGCUUUUUCGGCUAAAAUGAGGUUGUACUUUAUUACUCUUAUUAUUAUGUUUUUCUUUUGGUCAAAUGAUGUCGUACUCAAAUAGAGAGGAAUUUGCCAAGGAAUAUAAGGGUUUGAAGAAGCACGGGACUUCCCCUGACCGAGCUGACCUGGUGAGCUCGGUGUGCCGAUGGAAGAGCUGGUCCCAAUCCUGCAAAACAAACAAGGGUAAACUAGCAGUGGGGGCCCGAGGGUUGUCCCCGAGGGCGCUCCGACGGUCAAAUUAGUUCCUGGCCGGCGGACGGAGCGGUUUUUGAUAAUGUAUUGUACGAGCAAUCUGCUAAUAGCGAGCGUCCCUUGCACAGUUGGUAUGUGCUACCAUUUAUACCCGCUUAGGAGUCCGACCUCCGUACGUUUCGGGACUUGCCCUGAAUAGCUCCCAAUCCCGUUCCUGGGGGGAUCCUCCCGCCCUCUGCGGGGCAGCUCUUGGGAGCAUCCCGGAGCCCUAAUGGCCGAGCCCUCUUGGACUGGUUCCCAGUGGGCCCAAGGCGCGAGCCCAGCUCGGAUUGCCCCUGGGCUGACACGUGUACGGGCCCAGGAUGGGGCCUCUGCACUAGCCCCCUAGAUUAGGUCAGGCUCCCGGGCAGACCUGGUCUAUCCCCUAGCCACGUGGAAGCCCAUCAUUACACUGCUCUGCCGCGGUCACCUCCAGCACAGGGCUGUUAUUGGGAAGCGUCGCCCGCGUACUUUCAAUGGUCGCGUCCCUUCGGUUUCCGUACCUCCCUUAAGUGCGUUCACAUGGGGCGGUUCAAAUUCAAGCAAACCGUUUCCCCCCAUUUCGUCCCCUAUAAAUAGUGGCUGCCAAAAUCCGGUAAACUCUAUUUGCCAUUUUCUCUUUCCCCAUGCGUUUACAACUUCAGUAGUGCAUUUCCGGCCAACCAGGACCCAGAUUCCGGCGACCCUUCCCCCCCUUUUCUACUCCAGUCAUCAGUAAGUGUUUCCCCCUCCUUUCUCGCAUUUUCUUUCUUCCUCUUGCCGUCCUCUGCGUUUGUAUGUCGGGCCUCUCCGACGUGACUUCCUCCAACUCCCAGACUCCCCCCCGCCGUAAAGCCACCAGGAUCUUCAUUUCCUCCUCAUCUCCAUCUUCAUCAUCUCCCUUUCCUCCUCCUUCUUCAUCUUCUGCUUCCAACCCUAACUUUCCCCUUCCCGACUUGCUCGAGCUCAUCGACAUCAUGAGUUCCCCAUCUGCCCACUCCCCUUCUGCCCGGCUCCUGGAGGAGGUGGCCGAGCUUGACGCCCUCAUCAGGCGGCAAGCCGUCUCCACCCCUCCUCCCCAGUCCCCUAACGAUUCCCCCGGCGGAGCCCGGGGUGGAGCUGGGGAGGACCGGGGCUCCUCUGGGGGGAUCCCCGCUUCCGAGCAGGGGGAGGACCCCGAGUUCUCCUACGGGCAUCCUGACCUGCAGGAGGCCACCCUAUCGCCCCAGGCUGUGGCCGAGCUGGCCAAGUCUUAUUCCAUCCCUCCGGCCUACGAGCCGAGGGCGGCCGGGCCCGGCGAUUGGGCCUGCAGACCUCCCUCCGGCUUCGUUGCCAUCUACAGGGAGCAGCUCAUCGCAGGGUUUCGUCUCCCCAUUCCUUCAGCUCUAACCGAGAUUCUGAGCUACUGGGGGCUCAGAAUCACUCAAGUCCACCCCACCUCCAUCAGGAUCAUUACCGGAUUCCUGAUCUACUGCCUGCUCCGCGAUAUCCCCUACUCCCUUUCCCUCUUCCGGGCUGCCUUCAUACUUAAGGCCGCCCUACCCGGGUGGUACUACUUCUCCCGCCGCGGUCCCCAAACCCGGGGAGGGAAAGGCGCCCAAAAGCUAUUCCACGGGGUCCCUUCUUCCGUAAAAAGUUGGAAGGAAGACUUCUUCUUUGUUAAGUCCACCCAUUUUCCCCCCAACGUGUGGAAGGUUGGAAAAGUCCAAGCCGAUUCCUUCCCGGAGGACCUGGACUAUGAAACCCUCAGCCAGCUGUCGGAAUCCCUGGUGAAGCUUGACGCCACCAAGUUCUCUACAGCACAGAUCUCCGCGGCCGGGCUGAUGGGGACGUUGUCUGAAUCCUCCGGGGAGGUGGUGACCCCCGAGCCCAACCUCGACACCUGUAACGCCAACUUUGCCCUUUUUGCCUGUUGUAUCCACAGCAUGUCGUAAUGCUAUAGGCUGUCCGGCCUUUUACUGACUUAGCCGUGUUUUCUGCAGUGAGGAAGCUCUCCCUGCUGCUGGGCCUGCCUGCCGAGGAGGACACCCCCGCUUCCCAUCCAGACGAGGAAGCCCCCGGGGCGCCUCCGACCUCGGGGGGAGGCCAAGCCCCCCAGACACAAACGCAAGACACCUCCUCCCCCUCCAAGAAGGCCGCCAACAACAAGAAAAAGGCGACCGGGCAGAAGAGGGGUCGAGCCGACGAGCCCUCCCAGCCCGGGAAGAAGCUCGCGCUGGUUCCGGUCCAGCCUCCUCCCCUCCGGAUGUCUUCGGGGGGUCCAGUCCAUUUGGGCGUCGGCUCCGCCGAGGAGCACGCCCUGCAGGCCCCCCCGAGCUCGUGGCACUUCCGCCACGUGGCCCCCCUGAAGCCGGGCCAGGCCCCCACUAUGCACGACCCCCGCCGUUUCUGCCCGUCCUGGGAGCUCUCCAUCAACGACCGAGCCCAAUUCCCCGAGGUGGCUCGCCAGUGGGUGACGGGCUCGGUCCUCCCCCGGGACAGGAGGUGGAUGGAGCUAGCCUCCCCCUCCGAGCUCCAGGAGGUGUACUGCACCUCCCAGGCCCAAGUAAGUUUUCCGACCUCAGAGCCGUCCUUGCUUUUGACCCCUCACUCGGCCGCACCUCAGACUAACUCCUUCCUUUCUCCAGGCCCACGCUGCUGGAGCCGCCUUGCUGUCUCGCUUCUCCGAGCUAUCUCCCGAUUUGGAGAAACUGCAGAAACAGAAAAGGGAGGCGGAGCAAAGGCUCACUCAGGCCCUCAAGGAGGCGGACUCCCUUGCGGCCAAGCUGGGCAAAGCCGAGAAGGAACUGGAAACGGCCCAAGUCCAGCUCGCCUCCACAAGGUCAGAACUCGACCAGGAGAAGGCCGGCGUGGCCAAGCUGAGAGAAGACCACGCCAUCGAGCUCUCGGGCACCGUCGGCAGGGAGCGCAAGAAGGCCGUCCGGGAGUUCAUCUCCUCUGACCAGUUCAUCCAGGACGUAGCGCUCCUCAACGGGCCCAUCGCCCAAGUUGGCUUCGCGCGCGCCCUGAGCAGGGUCAAGGAGCUCGGCCUGCCUGGCUUCGACCUGGCCGCCUUCAAGGAGUACGACCCCAAGGCCGAGGAGAAGGUGGACUGGCUCUUCGACGGGUAUUGCAAGGGACACGCCCUGAAAGAGCUGGUGCGCCGGAAGGACGUUGGGGCCGACCUUGAGGAGCUGCCCCUAGAGAAGGACGGGGACCCGGGCCGAGCUCCGGGGAAGGAGCCGGUAGCCUAGGCAGCCAAGUUUCCUUUUUCUUCAGUAGGCAGUGUAAUAGAUAGGCCGAUAUCACACCUUUUGUAAUAGAUAGGCCUUAAGUAUAUAUACAAAAUUCGAAGCAAGUCUUCUUGCGACUCUUUUCGCACCUGACUUAUGACCCCACCCCUCAAGCCGAACACGUUAAAACUGUGCCGGCCUUCUGGGUCGAGCACCAUACCUUCCAAGUAUCCCCAUCGCGCCGACCUACUGGGUUGAUCACGUCUGAGAUUGUGCCGACCUCCUGGAUCGAGCAUCAAACCCUCCAAAAUCCUCAUCGCGCCGACCUCCUGGGUCGAACAUGUUUAAGACUGUGCCGACCUCCUGGGUCGAACACGUUUAAGAUUGUGCCGACCUCUUGGGUCGAGCACCAAACCUUCCAAGUAUCCCCAUCGCGCCGACCUACUGGGUCGAUCACGUCUGAGAUUGUGCCGACCUCCUGGGUCGAGCGUCAAACCUUCCAGGACACAAAACACCCACUACUAUUCCCCUAGCCCCCCACUAGGACAUUUAGAUAGGGACGCUAAGUGUUCUAGUGCGAAAUCAAAGCUCAGAAGGCAAAGAAGUACAAAUGAAACAAGAAACUUGAAAGUCGAGCCUUUAUUGAAUCACAAAACUGAAAUUCGAAUUCCGCAGAACAAACGACCGUCCACCCUGGUCUAACCUAUGCUACAAACAGUCGCAGGUUGGAAAAGUGCCAAGUGCGGGGUACCUCAGAUCCGUUCAUGUUGGCGAGUUUACAGUAACCUGCUCGGCCCACCCCAAGGACCUUGUAGGGGCCCUCCCAGUUUGGGUCGAGCUUGUUGGAGCUGUGAGCUCGGCUGACCGAAUUCUUCCUUAGGACAAGGUCCCCGGGCUGGUAUUGGGUAGCCCUUACUUUGGCAUUGUGAUAACGAGCGAGCUGGCCUUUAUACUUAGCCAUGCGAACCGCCGCUUCCUCACGCUUAACCUCGAGCAUGUCCAAGUUGUACCGGAGCUCUUCCUCAUUGGACGUCGCCACGAAGUUCUGUGUUCUGGGCGAAGGGAGACCGACCUCCGCGGGCACCACUGCCUCUACUCCGUAAGUUAAAGAAAACGGGGUCUCAUGGGUGGCCGUCCGGGGCGUAGUGCGGUAAGCCCAGAGGACACUGGGGAGCUCGUCCAGCCAGCUCGACUGGGCGGACGCCAACCUGGUCUUCAAUCCCUGCAGAACGGUUCGGUUAGCGUUCUCCACCUGACCAUUGGCCUGGGGGUGACCAACUGACGUGAAGUGUUGGUUGAUCCCGAGCUCGACGCACCAGCUCCGGAAGGGGUUCUCAGCGAACUGGCGGCCGUUGUCGGAUAUCAAGACGUGCGGGAUGCCGAAACGGCAGACAACGUUCCUCCAAAAGAAUUUCUGGAUCGCCUUUCCCGAGAUGGAGACUAGGGGCUCUGCCUCUAUCCACUUGGUGAAGUAGUCAAUAGCCACCACGAGGUGCUCGUACCUUCCUGGAGCUCGGGGGAAUGGUCCCAGGAGGUCUAUUCCCCAUUGAGCGAAAGGCCAGGGACUGUGAAUGGGGAUCAUUUCCCGAGCUGGCUGGUGACGUAAUGAAGCGUGCACCUGGCAGGCUCGGCAUCUCUGUACCAGCUCUGCGGCGUCACGGAAGACGGAGGGCCAAUAAUAGCCCAGGAGGAGGCACUUUUUGGCCAGCACCCGGGACCCCACAUGUGCCGCACAUAUACCUUCAUGGGCUUCACGCAGGACGUAGUCUCCUUCCUCGGGAGUCAAAAACUUUAGCCAGGGGGACAAGUACGACCUCCAGUAGAGGGUUCCCCCGGCGUAGGCGUAUUUGGCAGCUCGGACUUGGAUUUGUCGAGCCUCAAUUUUGUUCUCAGGGAGGGUACCCGAGCUGAGGAAGUCAACGAGGGGAGCCAUCCAGGUGGCCGAGCUAUCCACCGCCAGGACCUGGACCUGGCCGAUACUCUUCUGCUUCACCACCUCCACCAAGACCUCCUUGCUUAGGUGGGCGAACGAGGAGGACGCCAGCUUGGACAAGGCGUCCGCGCGCUUAUUUUGGGACCUUGGCACCCGCUCGAUCUCAAAAUUAUCGAACAGGGCCACCGCCUCUCGUACCUUGGCUAGGUAUUUCUUCAUUACCUCGUCCUUGGCCUCAUACUCCCCACGGAUUUGGAGGACGACGAGCUGAGAGUCGCUUCGAACCCGGAUCGCGGUAAUGCCCAUCUGGUGGGCUACCCGCAAUCCCGUCAACAGGGACUCGUACUCCGCCUCAUUGUUGGACGCGGGGAAAUCAAACCUGAGCGCAUAAGUCAGUUCUUCCCCUGUGGGCGAGGUGAGCAACAGGCCAGCCCCGCUGCCCUCCUUGCUCGAGGCGCCGUCCACGAACAACACCCACGGCUCCAUUGUCGGGGUGUCCGGGGGUGUUGGGACUAGUUCCGCCGGGGUCAGGCUAGCUCCUUCGGCCAGGAAGUCCGCCAAGGCCUGAGCCUUAAUCGCGGUACGGGGCCGAUAACUGAGGUCGUGUUCGGCCAGCUCGACGGCCCAUUUGGUCAUCCUGCCCGAGACCUCGGGCUUAGUGAGUAUCUGGCGCAAGGGCUGGUUGGUCAAGACUGCGAUGCUGUGAGCUUGGAAGUAAGGCCGGAGCUUGCGAGCAGCGUGCACUAAGGCCAGAACCAGCUUCUCGGCCGGGCUGUAUCGCGUCUCUGGCCCUUGUAAUGCUCGGCUGACGUAGUACACCGGUCUCUGAGUCCCCGCGUCCUCCCGUACCAAGACCGCACUGACGGCCUCGUUGCAAGUGGACAGGUAUAGGAAUAGUGUCUCCCCCAGCUCAGGGGCGGUCAGGGCGGACAGCUCGGCCAGAUAGGCCUUGAGGUCGGCGAAAGCUUUCUGGCACUCCUCGGUCCAGUGAAAGUCCUUUGGCCCUUUCAAGAUCCGGAAAAAGGGGAGCCCCCGAACCGCGGAGCGCGAGAGGAACCUGUUUAGGGCAGCCAUCCUCCCUGUGAGUCGUUGGACUUCCUUCACGUUCCUCGAAGGGGCCAUGUCCAUAAUGGCCUGUAGUUUGUCCGGGUUGGCCCGGAUUCCAUCUCGGGAUACCAGAAAACCGAGGAACCUCCCCGACCUGACCCCAAAGGUGCACUUCUUCGGAUUUAUGCGCAUCCGGCUCUCCAGCAGGAUUUCCAGAAUCUCCUUUAGGUCGGGUAUAAGGCGCUGAUCAACCCGGCUUUUAACUAUCAUGUCGUCCACAUAGACCUCCAUGCUUUUACCGAUCUGGCCUUGGAACAGCUUGUUGACCAGGCGCUGGUAGGUAGCCCCCGCGUUCUUCAAGCCGAAUGGCAUGGUUCGGUAACAGUAGGUCCCCUCCUCGGUGAUGAAGGAGGUCUUAUCUCGAUCUUCCUCAGCCAUUUCUAUCUGGUGAUAUCCCUUAAAGGCAUCCAGAAAGCACAAAACGUCAAAACCCACGGUAGAAUCUACUAACCUGUCGAUCCUUGGCAGGGGAAAGCAGUCCUUUGGGCAGGCAUUGUUAAGGUCCGUGAAGUCCACGCACAUCCUCCAGGUCUGAUCCUCCUUUUUGACCAGGACAGGAUUGGCCAACCAGGUCGGGUAGUGGACCUCCAUGAUGAUCCUCGACUCCAGUAACUUGCCGACCUCCGCCUUGAUCACCUCAUUUCUCUCGGUAGCGAAGCUCCUUUUCUUCUGCUUUACCGGCUUGAAGUGAGGAUCCACGCCAAGGUGGUGGACUGCCAGGUCCGUUGGAAUCCCAGGCAUGUCGUCCACUGACCAGGCGAAGACCUGGGAGUAUUCCCUCAAUAGAGCUUUCAAACCCUCCUUCUCCUUGGCGGGCAACAGGGCUCCAAUGCGGAGAACCUGAUCGGGCCGAUCCUCCCUUAAGGGGAACUCCUCCACCUCAUCUUGGGUACCCAGUUGCUGGGCCUCAUCCCCUGGGAUGUAGGGUUCCAAACAGGUUGUCUGGGCGACCACCUUCUCCUGCCCCCGAAGCGUGGCCAGGUAACAUGCCCUGGCUACCGCUGGGUCGCCCCGCACCUCGGCUAUUCCCCCAGGGGUGGGGAACUUGAUGCUGAGGUGGAAAGUAGAGGAGAUAGCCCGGAGGGCGUUCAAAGCGGGUCUCCCCAAGAACAAAUUGUACGGGGACGACUGCUUGACCACCACGAAAUCAACGAGGAUGGUCCGGCACCUGGGGGCCUGUCCUACUGUGACCAUCAGGGUGAUCAUCCCCUCCAAGCUGAUGGGUGGUCCGGUGAAGCCCACCAGAGGCGUCCGGACCGGGGUCAGCUGGUCGUCCCUUAGUCCGAGCUCCUUGAACACCCUAUAGAACAUAAUGUCAACCGCGCUACCCUGGUCGACAUACACCUUCCUCACCCGAUAGUUGUUGGUGACGAUGUCUAUCACGAUGGCUUCGUGGUUCCCUGCGGCCAGGGGGACUGCAUCCCUGGGUCCAAAGGUAAUUUCCUCGUCCAUGCGCAAGCGCUUCAAGGAGUCGUCCCCCUCGGUGGGAGGUCGCUUGUUCUUCCGAGCCGCAUGACUGUCCCCCCCCGUGGGGCCUCCGGCGAUGGUGUUUAUCACCCCCGCCAGGUUCUGGGUGUCCCGGUCGGGAGAGCAGUCCCGAGGGGCGUCACGCCGCUCCGGGCGGUCGCGCCGCCGUCCCUCGUGCCUAUCUCCGUAGUGGUUGCGUCCAAGCCCCUGACCUGGUCGGCGCACGAACCCCCCUAGAAAACCGCGCUGGAUCAGGUCCUCGAUCUCCUUGCGCAGGGCCCAGCACCCCUCCGUGUCGGGCCCGACGUCGCGGUGGAAGGCGCAGUACCGGUCCUGGUUCCUUUUGUUCCGGGGCGUCCCCAUCUUGGGCGGCCGAUCUCCCAGCCCUUCCGCCUCCAUAACGGCUAAGAUCUGGGCUCUGGGCCGUGUUAGAGGGGUGUAGGUCUUCUCUGGGAGGGGCGGCGGAGCUGGUGCCCUAUCCUUGGAGAGACGGUCGAAGACGUUCUUCCUGACUUGGCCGUCCUUAGAUUCAGGAGGGUUUGCCCGUCCUUUCCUGUCCCCGAACUCCCGAUCUGAUUCCCGUUUCAGGCGGCCGGCCUCCUCUGCAUUGGCGGCGGCGUGAGCCCGGGUCAAGAGCUCUCCCAGGUUCUUGGGAGGUUGUUCGACAAGCUUGUAGUAGAGAUCCUCUACCCUCAACCCGUUCAUGAAGGCGGCCAUGACUACCUUUUCGUCCUUAUCCCUGAUCUGCAGGCUCUCUGUGUUGAAGCGCGUCAUGAAGUUCUUCAGGGACUCAUCCGGGUUCUGCUUAACGGCCAUCAGGUGGGCCGCAUUCUUCGAGUAGGUCUUCGAGGAAACGAACUGGGCGGCGAACUGUCUGGCCAGCUCGGUGAAACUCUGAAUAGAUCCCGGUGCCAGACCCUGAAACCAGAGCCGCGCCUUACCCUUGAGAAACAUGGGGAAGGUCUUGCAGCGGAGGGCAUCCGCGGCGUUUUGCAGACGCAUGUGCGUCAGGAAGACCGAGAGGUGGUCCUCCGGGUCGGUCGAACCAUCGUACAGCUCGAUGUUCGGGAUUUUAAACCUCCGGGGUAACGGGUAGUUCUCGACCUCCCGGGUGAAGGGCGAGGCUGCGUAGUUGUCCCCGUACGGUUGUGGUCGCAGGAUCUGCUCGAGCUCAUCCCGGACGGGCUGCCACUGGGGUGGGUCGCGCGGGCGACUCCUGACAGAUCGGGCGGGGGAGCGUGCGAGCCCAUUUCGCGUAGGUUUCCGUGGGGAGGGGUCCCUUGGUCGGCUCCCCACGGACCGGUCGUGGGAGUACCUCUCGCUAUCCCCGACCACCGAAGCUCGGUGACGAGGGGGAGUCCGCGGCCGUUUCCUCCUAGGGGGCUGGUCCUGUGACCCAUCCUCCGAAGGGUCAGGGAUCGACUCCUUCUCCUUCCCCUUCCCCUGGACUUUGGAAGUUGGUGCGCCCCCCGCCUCCUUUCCUCCUUUUGCCUGCCGGAUUAUAUCCUCCAGCAUGGGGAGAUUCUCUGUCACGAACUGGAGCAUCUGCCGUCUCCGGUCCCCUGAGAGGGCCGAGCCCCCAGCGCCCCCGGCCGCUUCGUUCUCCUCUCGACGGGACCCCUCCCCGGCCCCGGCUCCGGUGCUUUCAACGGUUUGCUUGGACCGUGUCCUCGCCAUCAACACUAACAAUUACCUUUCGGUUCCCACAGACGGCGCCAACUGAAGAAGCACGGGACUUCCCCUGACCGAGCUGACCUGGUGAGCUCGGUGUGCCGAUGGAAGAGCUGGUCCCAAUCCUGCAAAACAAACAAGGGUAAACUAGCAGUGGGGGCCCGAGGGUUGUCCCCGAGGGCGCUCCGACGGUCAAAUUAGUUCCUGGCCGGCGGACGGAGCGGUUUUUGAUAAUGUAUUGUACGAGCAAUCUGCUAAUAGCGAGCGUCCCUUGCACAGUUGGUAUGUGCUACCAUUUAUACCCGCUUAGGAGUCCGACCUCCGUACGUUUCGGGACUUGCCCUGAAUAGCUCCCAAUCCCGUUCCUGGGGGGAUCCUCCCGCCCUCUGCGGGGCAGCUCUUGGGAGCAUCCCGGAGCCCUAAUGGCCGAGCCCUCUUGGACUGGUUCCCAGUGGGCCCAAGGCGCGAGCCCAGCUCGGAUUGCCCCUGGGCUGACACGUGUACGGGCCCAGGAUGGGGCCUCUGCAGGGUUCAAAUUUUAUCUAUUAGAAACCAGCUUCCUUAAUUUCAAAGACAGAAGAUGAUUAGAGAUCCCCUACAUUAAUAAAGAAAAAAAAAACGCCAACCAAUCGUUCUUGAUUGCCCACUUGUUGCUAAAUCUUAUCGUCAGCAUUGGUUCUUAGUUGCCUGCAUACUUCUCAUCUUUUAAUUUUUCAAUUAAUUAGACUGGAAAUGAAUACGAGUUCCACUUCUUUGCUAAAAAAGUUAUUAGCAGAAGUAAAAUUUAUUAGCAGAAGUUAUUUUAUAGCCCAUGAUCCCGUGUGCAAUAUUGCAAUGCAACAUGGGCAAAUAGCUAAGCGAGAAGACAAAAGAGAUAGAGAUGCCGAGCCUUAGCACCUAGAAUGAGAAAUAGAUGUUUUAGUCAUUCAGUUAUAUCAGAUUGAUUAAUUAGAGUUAUCACGGGAAAAUUUGGCAUCUAAAAUACAAGUUUUUUGAACUUAUUUCACAUAUAAGUAGUAAUAUACUAGUAAUGAAGAAUGUAAACCUGUAAAGGGUUUGUCUAGUUGGUAGUGCACCAAAUAAGAGGUGGAUCCAAAGUAAUUUUUUCCUAUCAAAGUGUUGCAACUUAAGUGGUGAAUGAUAAUUUUAAAACUUUAAUAGUUCACCUACCUUCUUGUUUUAAUUAUAUUUAAAUCAUAUAUAUCUACCUUGUAUAUAAAAAGAAAGCCAAGUUACUGUAGCUAACCAUCUUUUUGACACAUGUAUUGUAUAUAUUUUUGACAAGUGGACCUUUGAUUAUUUUACCAAAAUUUUUUCCUUCCCCUUUCUUGAUUCAAUUGGACUAAAGGAUUAAAAUAUUUUUUCUCCUUGAGAAAAUCAACUCCAUCUCUUCUUUUUCUUCUUGCAGUAACUACUGUCAUCCCUCACCUUUUUUAUUUUUUAUUUUUUAAAACUAAUCUAACUAAGAUUGUUGCCAUGUUCUUUUUUUUUUUUUUUGUCAAGAUGAUAACUACUUAGCAAAAAGAAUUCUUUAUUAUUUUUUAUCCCAUUUUACAUUUUCUUUUCUUCCUUUUUUUCUUCAUCUCUAAUCUCUCAUGUUUGCUCUAUUUUUUUUUAUCAUAAUGUUAUAGCCAACUGGCAUUUGUUUGUUAAAUUUAUAGGAUGAUGUUUUACUUGGUAGUUCUUCAUGGAUAAAAGGUGAAAUAUUAAAAUAUGUAUAAAAAAAAUUUAGAAUUCAUUUUAUACCAAUGAUCAUUUUCUAUGAAUAAUAGAACAAAAAUUCAUUCUUUUAUUUUCUUCUCCUAUGAUUUGAUUUCUUACUUCACAUUUUGUUUCCUUUUCUUUGUUUUUUGGUUACAUUUUGUAAUUAUCUACAAUUUUCUGUAUUUGUUUAGGAGAAAGAUAUAUCAUAUGAUGUUUCCACCAAGAUAAAUCUAGCUAGGCAUUUUUGUUUGUUUUUUAAUUACUCAAGUGUUGUAGUAUGAAUUGGGUUGGUAUACAAGGAUUGCAGUCGGUGGUGGAAGUCACAAUUGAGGCUUUCGGCCUAGAGUGUGACUUGACAAAAAAUUGUUAGAAAUUUCAAUUUUGAUUAGGAAGAUGUUUUUGCAAUAAAAAAAUAGUUCAAUUCUAAUUUGUAUAUGUAGACCAGGAAACAUGGCAAUUCAUAUUUUUAUCUAACCUUGCUAUUUAUAUUCAGGAGCUGCAGGAUAAUGUUAUCACCUUUAGGCAGAAUUUAAAUAGAUGAACUGGAUUCUUCUAUCAAAAGAAAGAAAAAUAUGCAAGUUUAUAGUAAGCUAUAUUGAUGUUGAAGAUUGUGCCAUGUUUUAGUAGCUUCCUAAAUUUUUUCUCAUUAUUAAAGUACUAAAAGUAUUACGACUGCUUUUGAUUUAGUUUUAACUAAAACUAUACUACUAUUAAUACACCAAUGCACUUAUAGUCUAUUAAGUUUCUCUCCUUUUUGGGUAUCAUCAUAAUAGUGGUUCAAAAAUCUUUAUUCAAAUCACAAUAAAUAGAGAGGUUGACUUCAUAGAUGGAAUUUCUCUUCACAACAAAUUUUGAGAGAAAUUUUAUUUAUACUCCAUAUUGUGUUAAUUGUGUUCCUACAAAAAACAAAAACUAUACGAUAAAAAUAAUAGCGAAAGUAUGAUUAACAAAAAUGAGAGUUCAAAUAAUAUUUGUCAAAUUUAAUUGCUUUGAUGCUCAAUUUUUCUCAUAUAUUUCUAUUCAUUCAUCAUGUGUCAAAAUAAUUUGAUGCUAUGCAUUCGACGGGCAACGGGCAUUUUGGUCAUUUUACACAGCGCGUAACUUUGAUUGCACACGACGUAACUUUGUUUGCACAACGUGUAACUUUAGUACAAAAAAUUACGGGCCCCACACACGUGAAAAUCGAUGUACAACUUGUAAUCUGGACCGCACAUUUUUUUUGACCAAAAUCUAGCCGUUGACUGUUCAGGCAUUCAGGGACGGUCCCUGCCCCUUGUCCGCAUUCGACUAAAUUUCUAGGGGGCCCAAACUGUGCUUUGCACAGUUCAAGUACCUCUAGUAUAUAUAUAUAUAUUAAAUAUCCAAUAAUUCUGGCAUGUCCACGUGGAACAAGCUAAGAAUCUUCUGUUAGAAAUAUCUUCAUUGAACCACUUUUUACUCUUUUCUUGUUAUAUUCCUACAAUCAACAUCAAUUGCCAAAUAUGAGUUUAAUCAAUCCAAUAAUGCAAUAUUUAGCCAAAAUCACAAGAAAAUAUUAACAAUUUCAAUAACCACUAUGCACCCUAUAACAGUCUAACAGUUAUGUGAUUAAUGACCGGAAGAAUGAUUGGUGUAUGUUAAUUUGUCACAAAUAUUUGUAAAAUGAGCAAAACUUAGGAUCCAAUAGCUUGUAUACUUGCAAGAAACUACUACACAAACAAACGAUAAUUCUUUUGGCCGGAUUGUGAUCAAAGCAUCUUAGUAUAAGCUAGAAUCUUGUACUAAUUGAUGACAAACAUCUAUGAAAUAGUUAGAGACUUACUCUCAUCCUAGCAAAUCAAUUUCUUAACUUGAGGUGUAUAUGAUAAAAAAUUUGAGUUUCUGUUUAAAAAGUAUAAUUUGUGAAUUGCUAGGUUUUAUUUUUUAUUGGUUAAUAACUUUCAAAUAUUAGAUUCAUGGUUUCUUUUUAGAAAUUCCUAUAUUUUAUUUGAUAUAUUUACUUUAAUUUGACUAGAGCUGGCAAUUUGUCCCAAGUCCCAAUGGGCUACCCAUGCCCAAAGGAACUUUGGGCGGGAUGGGUAUUAUAAUUUGGUAUUGGGUUUAAGUUGGGAUACAUCCCAACUAUACCCAUUAAUGAAUGGGAAAGGGUGGGAAAUACUUGGGUAUCCAUUGGGCUCAAACAGCAAGGGCUCCGUUUGGAUUAGCUGUUUUUAGGGGGUGUUUUUGAAAUAUUUUAUUGUAGUAGUGUAUAUAAAAAAAUUUUACUAUAAAAUUUUUUUGAAAUAUUUGAUAUACUAAUAUGGAUGGGAUGUUUCUUGAGUUAUUGUAUAUUACUAUUUGAAAAACUUAUUUUUUGAAAAAAUACCCAAUCCAAACGGAGUCUUAGAUUCAAAAAUUAUCUUUAACAAUUUUUAUAGUCAUACCAGCGAAUAUAAUCUAGUAGUCUUUCUAAUCAUUAUCCACAAGAAUUUCCAGCAUUUUAAUCAAUUUAGACCUGUCAUCCUUGGACAAUGAUGAGGAUAAAUAUUCAACAUCUUAAGGAAUUUGGCCAUCUUGAUAUAUGUUGGAAUAUGGCUGUAUAUCUAUCUUUUUCUUUAUUUGUUAAUCCAAUUUUUGGUGGGAAUCUUGAGUAUAAAGCAUUUGCAUGUUUAUUUAAUAAAACUAAAAGAAAUUUAAUAAAUCAAAAAUAUUAAAAUUAUAUAAAAAUAAAAAAUGAAUUAAAGGAAAAAAAAUAUGUAGAAAAUGGAUUUGGGUAUUGGGCGGGAUCAAUCUAAACCCAUCCUAAAGUGAUCCCGCCCAAAUUAGUCCCAAAACAUAUAUGGGUAAGGUUGGGUCCAAACCCAUAUGACUCGGUUUCAUCUCAAACCCAAGCAAAUCCCGCAUAUCCCGCCCAUUUUGCCACCUCUAAAUUUGACAUAUAAGCAUUAUUCAAUGUAAUAUGCAGUAAGUUUUUUCCAGCUUCCGAUAUUGUCAAAAUUUUAUUUUCUUUUGCAAGUCAAAAUCAAAUUAGGAUUUGUUAUGCCUUAUGUUAUGUCCAGAACCUAGUAGAAUUAGAUUGAGUAGCAUUACCUUAUUUGGUAGAAACUAUGUUUCAUUAAGUAAUUUCCAUUCCAAAUCUAACUAUAUUUCAUAAGAAAAAUGUAAUAUACUUCUCUUCCUAAAAUAAAUACUUAACAAUGAUAUUACACAGUUACCCUCAACAAUAUCUAUAAGUCAUUCAAAUUUAGAGCUAGCCAUAAUUUGUUAUGGGAGGGUUAAUGUUGGAAAGAAAAAACUAAUUUUUACAAUAAUUAAUAAAGUAGAAAUAGUUCUUAAAUUUCCUUUUACAAUAUGGUUCCCUUUUUUUGGGUUUAACUUUGUUUUACAAUAUGGUAUAUGGUUUCGUUUUUUUUUUUUUUUGGUUUAACUUUGUUUGGAAUUCCUUUCUUUUUAGAAUACUAAAUUUUAGAAGACAAUAAUUACAUCAACACUAAUAUCCAUAAAUAUCCCCCCCCCACCAAUUCGUAUUUGAAAUUUAAGAUGUGCUUCAUUAUUUCAUUAUACAAGGGCAUUACUAGAAAGUGAAAACUAAAUUACUAAAACACCAAAUCACUUUGGUGCUUUUAAUAUAUAUGCAUAUAUGUAUGUAUGUAAGUAUAUAUGUAUGUGAUAGACAUUUGCACAGUGAGACUUAUUUGGCAUCUAGUCCAACAAAGCUAACAAGGCAAGCACAAAAUUAAAAACAUAAAAAUAAAACGCCUUGAAAAAUAUUAGAUAGAGAUUCAAGGGAUUGUCAACCAUGGCAUUCCAAAAGAAAAGGAAAACAACAAAUUAAAGAGGAGAAUCAUCGAGGACAUUGAAAAUUAAAACCCAAUAAAUUAACUUUCUGAUUUUGAAAUAAUGAUCAAGUGAAAGGCAUGAGCUACUAAUAACUUGGCACAUGUUUCAUUCUAUAAUUAUCAUGUCUGGAGGUUCAAUUUUUUCUUCUGAGGUUUGCCCUUUUUGGCUAGAUUAUUCUCACCUUUCACCGUCAAAUUGAAUUUUCAACGUACCAAGGUUUUCUCAAAUCGCUUCAUACAAGAUGCAUGGUAUUUGUUCUGAUUUACCAUAUCAUCUCAGCAUUUGGCAUGGGAUGAUUAGAAACCAGCUUCCUUAAUUUCAAAGACAAAAGAUGAUUAGAGAUCCCCUACAUUAAUAAAGAAAAAAAAAACGCCAACCAAUCGUUCUUGAUUGCCCACACGUUGCUAAAUCUAAUCAUCAGCAUUGGUUCUUGGUUGCCUGCAUAAUUCUCAUCUUUUGAUUUUUCAAUUAAUUACACUGCAAAAGAAUGUUAACGCAAAACUAUUAGUAUAAGUUAUUUGUUUUUUUCCCACCAAAAAAAAAAAGCAGAAUUAUAUAUAGCCCACAUCUCAUAUGGAACAACACGCAAUGCUGUAACGCCGCGAAUGCUGAGCCUUAGCACUCAGCUAUCGAGGGCUGUUAUGAGGUGAGAGGACAGGGAGCAGCAGGCCUUGAAAAAAUGAGCUAAGUUGUGCAAAGAGUGGGCUGGGAACAUUAACAUUACUUUUUGUACGUUUUCUCUUUGAGGUAAUUUUUGGUAAUAACUUUGUCCAGUGCUGAGGGAAACCCCGGUCGAUUUUGCAUUUCUAGUUUGAUAUACUAGGUGGUAGCCACUGCCCAGUUAAUGUUUAGCUAGUAAUGUUGGUAAGAAUGAAAGUACAAUCAAAUGGAACUAUAAAAUGGAACUAUAUUAUACAGGCAUAUUAAUGAAAAUUAUACGAGCCUCCCAAGUAAGAUAACCAUGAUGGCUCAGGGCUCCAUGAAGCCAUUGUUCUAGUCUUUGAAAUACAAAAGUGAAAUACAGACAGAUUCAGCAACAACUCAAGGCAUCAAUCAAGCAGUGAAUCCAGUCCUGUUCAUACAGGAGAAAAUAGAGCAGAGCAAGUAAUGCCUCCAAAGCAAAGAAAAAACUGCAACAAAAGCAAAGCAAGCAAACGCAAAAAUUAUGACAAAACGAAAGCAGACAGCUGUAUUAAUGCACAUAUAGCCUCACGAAAUGUGAAGCUAGGAUUGAGGUUUACAAAAUCGCGGAAAUGUGAAGCUACUUUUUCUAGUUGGAGAACAAGAAUCAUCUACAUCCAAUCUUGAUUGAACUACUGAUGUAUAACUACUUCUUCCCUGUUUACAUAAUGACAUCACAUCACGCAGCAAGAAAAGUAAAUAUUAGAGCACCCUGUGAGACAUUUUCAAAUCUGAAUUACCUUCAAAGGGAACGUCUGUGUAUACAAGUCAACUUUCUGGUCAUCGCCAGAUACUCUAGUAAUCUGCCUCACAAACUUUGUUUCCACAUUAUAUACAAGCUGCAAUUUUGAAUCAAUAAAUGUCAUACAUCUUGACGUGAUGUAGCACAAACUCCCAAAAAAUAAAACAUAAUCAAGUUUUGCUUUAAAGCAUAAUAUGAAACAUAAAUCAAAGUACCUGAACAACAUAUUCAAAUAAAUACAGGGUACACUGGGUAAGCAUGUACCUACCUUCCUUAUAUCAGGAUCAUUCCAAGGACUCAUAUUAGAUGAGAGGCAUCCUCCUUCAACUGGAUAUAAGCAAGCUAACAAAUCAAUUUCAAAUCAAGUAUUAAAUAAUCUGCAAUAAAUGAAAAUUUUCUUACUAAAAAAUUUAGAGACUACAAAAUUACAAGGAUCUCAUGGUAAAAGAAACAUUAAGUAAACAACAGUACAUCAAAAGACUAAACAUACCUAAUUAAGGAGAAAAAGGCUAAACAUAGAACAAACUUAAGUAGCGUUAAAGCUGGUGAGAAUAAUCCAAGCAGCUUCCCUCCUAUCACUACCAGCGAUCAGCUUAACACAAAAUACCUAUUAGAAACACCAUAUCAGUUUUGGAUACUCAAAAUACCCAUAACAAAAAACAAAAAAACAUUGCAAUCAUAGGUUCUGAACCAAGUACAAUCCCUGCAUGCAUAAAAAUCUUUCCUUCUUAUACAGGAUGAUGGCACAUAAACAUUAAGAAAUAAUAUCAUUUUCCAUUGAAUGCCUUCUGCACAGAAUAUUUGAGACAAAUAAAUGGAGCAAGAAGUAAAAAUCUGGAACCCAUACAACAAAUUGAACAAAAGGUGAGAUGGCAAAAAAAAAAAUCAGAGUUAAGAGAUUGGCUAAAUAAACACAGUUUUGGCAGGAACAAAAAGUAAAAACCACAGGUAAGAAGAGGGAGCAGGGAGCGUGGAAAAUAUGGAAAUGAGGGCCACAUAACGCUAACUGUACCUCGAGGAAGUACUGGUGGGGAGCAGGCUGGUGCAGGAGAAGGGACCGAAGCAACAUAUGUGGACUGGUUGAGAACCAAAUCAUUUGUGGCAAGAUUUAACAAGGUUGAAUCCAGGAGGGAACUAUCCACAGGAUCAGCCAAGAGAACGCCAGUCUGGGUAUAACCUAAGGCAGUUCUAGAGAAAUAGUCGUGCUAUUUUGGCUAGGCCUUUGAAACCGAGUUGCCUCAGCAGAACAAGGCACAGUUGUGCCUGUUUUUUUUGAGGCAUUGCGUUCACGGCGGCGACGAAGAAGUUCAACUUUCUGCUCAUGUGGCAUUUCUGCAUACCUUUUAUGCCUUCUAGCAUUUCUAUCCAGCCUUGGAUAACGUGCAUUCAAGAAAUAUUAAAACGGACAGCACGAAGAUAUACGUUUGGUAGGGAAUGCAAAAAAACAUCGGAGGAAACGCAAGAGUUAAAAGUGCAAGCUAAGUGCAGGAAAAGAAAGGAAGCAUACCAUAUGAUCGAACGAGGCAACUGAAAGAGCAAAAGAGGGAGGGAGGGGGGAGAGGCAGGAGAAGCAAAGCUAGCAAUAGCAACAACAGCAGGGCAAAACACACCAGUAUGAUACGAAAGUAAGCAGAAGACAAAUACUUCAAUCAGGAAACGGAACAGGGGGAGAAAAGCAUCUGAGGAGUGCAGAAAAGGAAACACAGUAGUAAGAAGCGCAAGGUUAUGCAGUAAAAGAAAGCAAGCAGAGCAUGUAAUCGAGCGAGGCAACUGAAAGAGUAAAUAUGAAAGCACACCAGCAUGAUAUGAAAGCAAGCAGAAGGCAAAAUACCUUAAGCAGUAAACGGAGGCUAAGAGAGGACACGGUAGAGGAGCGAGCCGAAGUUGGCCUGCAUAAGCAAAAGCGACAUAAAGGUUAAGAAAAUAGCGGAAAGCAGGGAACAUAACAAAAGGGAAGCAAUUAUAAGAAUCACAAACAGCUGCGAAUAAACUGAAAGGAAAGUGACCAAAAAGGAACACACGAGCAGCGCACUAAACGCAGUCCAGGGGGAAAAGAGAACAAAAGCUGGGAACAACACAGUGGCGGCAACAAAAUGCUAGGCAAGAAGGGGGUUUUGUUCAGCGGCAAUCCGAGGACAACCGUAGGCCUGGGAGGGGGUAUUAACGGUAGGGGGGAAAGAUCGAGCCCAAAUAUUGGCAAGCAAAGGGGUGUAAGCAGCAGAGGCAGCCGGGAAUUAUAAUGGACAACAAGGGGAGACAGAGGAAGAGGGAGAGGGAGGGGAAGGGCAGCGGGGCGAGGGUGGGGGGGGAGUGCAAGUAGAGCAACGAAAGAGCAGCGGAGAUAACCUAGUGCAGCAAAGAGGGCAAUGGCAAGGAGCAGCAACAACACCAAAACAGGAACAAAAGGGCAAAUAGCGGUCUUCGAUGAGCAGGCAAGAGGAGAAGCACCAUGGUUCAUGAUGGCAGUCAACUAAUAGGGCAGGUUGGAAGAGGUCAGAGCAGGUGGGAGAAGGCGUGCAAGAUAGCUAAAGGAACAGUUUUGUGUGAGGGGAAAGCAGAAGUGGGUGAAGAAGUAAGUGGGGGAAGAUGGAUGCAGGAUGGAGGCAGGAUGGAGUAGAUGGAGACAGGACUGAGGAGCAGAAAAAUAGUACAAAAUGAAAGACGGGGCAGCGGAGGGGGAAGGCGUACAAGAGUAGAAGGCAAACAGCAAGUUGGUAGUGGGAGCAGCUGGAGCACGUGGCAAGCUCAAGACAGCAACUCCAGAAGGCCACAACAGAGCUAAACAGUGGCAACGAAAAAGGAAGAAGAGAGAUGCAACGACCAUACACGGAAGGAAAGCUAAAGGCCAGAAAUUCAUUCAGACCAAUGACGUCGGGCCACGCGGAGGACGACCACGUCCAACGUGGAUACCGGGCGUUCGCCCUUAGUACUAUAUGGUUAACAAGGAGAUUGAUGUGAGCAUUUGUCUAUUUGAGAUUGUUAUGUAUUAGGUCCUGAAUCUUCUAUGGUUUUGUGCUUUAUCACAUAAUCCUCCAUAGUUUAGAAACCUAUAUAGAACCUCACCAUAAUUUGGGUUAGCGUGUCACUGUUAGUUUUUCGUUAAAAUUAACGGUCAACGGUAAAAAGUUAAAAUCAAACUAAUAAAUUGAUAAAUUCAUGCUUUCACUAAUUUUUUGCUUUUUUUUUCAUUCUCUCUCUCUCUCUCUGUGAGAACCCUCAUUUUUAAAAUACAAUUUUCCCAAACUACAUGCCUUGCACCAAGAUUUAAACCAUCUCUUAUAUGCCCUAGCAUUAUAUUUCACAAUGUGUUACAACAAAUCCCUUGUAUUGACCCUCACUUUAAAACACAAUUUUCUUAUUUACAUGCCUUAUUAUAAGAUCUAGACCAUUUAAUAUAUGUCCUUACAAAUUAUUUUCUAUGUGUUAUAAUAAUUUCCAUGCAUUUCAUUUCAAUUCAUUUUACUUGAAGUAAAAUAUUUCCUUGAGCUAGGUUGUAAAUAAUUCAUCACUUGUAAUUGUCCAAGUGUUCUUUUAUUAGUGGUAGAGACUUUAUGUGAGAGAUUAGAGGUGUUGAAUAAUUAUUGGUGCAUUUGGAAAGGUAAGAAUGGCAUUAAUCAAAGAUUAAGAAAGGUUAGGACAAUAAUGGAGCCAUGUGGCAAAACCCUAGCCAUGUAUCUUGUUUGACCAAAGGAUUAGAGAAAUUUUAAACCAACUUUGCUUCAUUUUCCUCCAAAAUUUCGUCCACCUUAAGGGCUUCCAAGGGAAGGAAGAAAACUCCAUCUUCUUGCUAUGACAACCUUAGUUUGAUCUUGAACAAAAACCAAAAGAGAAAGAUCUAGAGUUUGUGAGAAAAUUUCCUUCAAUCUUUGAGGUUGUUUCAAGUCUAAAGCUUCUAUUGUGGUGGUUUGUUUGGUGACCAAAACAACUUGUAAGUAAGGUAUGUAAUCUUUAAAAUUUGGGUUUAUGAUGUUAUAUCAUCUACUUGAGGUUGAAAUGGUGAAAACAACUUGUUAUGGUUGAAUUUGGGGUUAGUUUCUUGAGUUAAUCAAGUAAUGGUUAGGUUUACUAAUAUGCAUACCAAGUGUUUGAUGAAAUGUCUAACCCUUAUUCAUAUGUGUUUAUGAAGUAUUGAUAUGUUUUAAACCCCUAUUUAGUUGGAUCUAAUACUUGUUAUGUGCAAGGAAUGAAAAUAACAAGAAGAAUAGAAGUUAGAAAUUUUUAAAGUGUGCUGACCGAAACUUUUUAAGCUUGCUGCCUGGUUUUUCCUUGAUAUUUUGAUGCACAUUUUGGCUACAAAUGUGAGUGUUAUAUGUUGGGUUAUGUGUGUGGAGGUUGUCUACAAAAAAUUAGCCAAUUUGGUUGAAUAAAUUUUGAGUUAUAAACAAAGGAGGAAAACUGGACUAGGUCCAGAAAUUUUCUGUCCAGCAAUCUUGUUAAGGUCAUAACGUGUUACUCACUGAUCGGAAUUGAGUGAUGUUUGUGGCAAUUGAAAGUAGACUCUUUGAGCUUUAAAACGGUACAAAGCUCAUUUUCUGGUUCAUCCCGAGUGAUCCGUGGCGAGUCUGGAAAGUUGGCUGUCCGGGCAGUACUGUUCAUCCGAGACAGUCCAGAAAGUUCAUUUUGGUUUCUUAAUUUUGAGCUACUUAUGUUGAGAUUUUGGAAAUGGUUUAUUCUAGACAAAUUUAGCCUUAUGAACCUAGUUUCCAAUGCAAUUGACGGAACCUAAUUCUGACUUUUCCACAAUGAGCAAUGACCGUUUUCCCGAGGCUGGCCGGGCGAGACAGUUUAACCCGUAAUGAAGCCUUUGAGUUUUAGUGAAACUUUUCUUUUGCCAAACUUUCAUGUACAUACUAGACUUUUUUUCCAUGAACUUUCACCGUGGUUUAGACCCUAUUUGCAUGCCGGAUUAAGUAGUUUAAGCUACUCACUUGGCCUCUUAAUGAACCUAUACUUUAGUAGGGAACGAAUCCAAUUAUUAAUAUUUUCACUCGUUGACCUAGGUUUGGGCAACGACGGUGAUCAUAACUGAGACAUUUGACGUCGAUUAUUACUUUUGCUUGACAGGUGAGUGUUCCACUACCUGCUACUUGUUAUGUGAAAUAUUUGUGUACUUGAAAGUAUUGAAUUGUUAUUGUUUGAGCCAAACACUGUUUUAAUUAAAAUUGAGGCGAGUGUGUACUUUAUCGCACUCGACCUUCCUUGUUUUUUUUUUCUUUUCACUGAGGCUCUACUUACUGAAUGAAUUAACAUGAAAUGAGAUAUUGUUAUACAUGACUGUGCUUAAGUUGCGUGGAUGACAUUCCACCAACUACUGUUACUGUUUGGGUACCUAACCUCAUAGGUGAGUCGGUUGUAUCGAGCCAGCAAGGGUUUGGUCGAGAAGGCCGAUAAACCUUGAGGACUGUUUACUGUUCACUGGAAAUCGAAUCUUGCUUAGAGGUCCUUGGUGAAGCAUAGCCGUUGUGCUUGCUUGUUGUGUUGUCCAGCACCACCAGUGAUAAAAUCCUCGGCUUGAUACUGUUUCAUUGCAAUCCUUGAGCAUUGGAAACUCGGAUUCCUGGUAUACUCGAGUAUUACCAAACUACUGUUUAUGGAGUGCAGGCCCGGUGGGGGGUUGUUUAGUGGACGGAGACUGGUGAAAGUGGUGUUCUACGGACCUAUAUACUGUUACAAGUGUUGACGGAGUGUCAACAGGAGGCAAUUAUGAUCAAGCUCAAGUGGACCUUUGGCUUUUGAAAGCCACCCGUAUCCUUGAAUUGAACUGUGAUUAAACUGUUAUUUUAUUGUACGGUGUUUAGUUGGCUAUUUUGUGAUUUUAUGUGGCUAUGUAUUUACUUGUUUACCUGGAAUCUCACUGGGAUUUAACUCACCCCAUUCCCUUUGUUUUCCUUAACAGAUCGGGAAAGGAUUUGAUCGAGGGCUUUCUUAGCUUUAUUUUACCGUUCUUGCGUUUUGAGGUUGUAACUUUCGUUUAAGCAGACUUGUAAGCUUAAAUUCUUAAGGGUGAUUUAUAUUAUGUAAUUUUGAGUGAAACAUGGUAAGUUGGCAUGCGAUGAUAUAUGUACUAAGUUGAAUUGUUGAAUUAGUGAUUAUGUUUGAGUUAGUGUUUCAAUCCCCUGCAUUGUCAAAUGUUACAUUCGUUUCAUUGAUGAUAUUAGUACUUUGAACGACUGAGUCCUGUCGAGAGUUGGGCAGGCAGUCCGCUGAUACCCUAGGGUUUGCCCUAGGGAAAGGUGGGGCUGUCACUCUCUCUCUCUCUCUGGGAAGAGAAGAUGUGAUUUUGAAAACCUAUGCUUUGGCGUACAAAAUCUUAAUUUUCUCCAAAUAUAAAAGAGAUGGAAGAAAAUAAAAAAUAAAUAAAUAAGAAACAAAAAGAAUGGAAGGGAAAUAUAAAAAGGGUAAAUGAGAAACAAAAAUUAUCAAAUCUUUUUUUACUACAAAUAUCAUUAUAGGUUUCUAAACCAAAUCUUUAAUGGCAUUUUCUAUUUCUUAUUUAUCUAUUUUUUUAUUUAAAUUUCUUCAAGUAAUGAAAAGAUAAAUUUGUCAAUUUAUUAGUUUGAUUUUGACCUUUUGCUAUUGAUCGUUAGUUUUAAUGAAAAAAAUUAAAGGUGACACUUUAACUCAAACCAUGAGGGGAUUAUAUAUAUGUUUUUAAACUAUAGAGAGAUUAUGUGAUAAAUUACCUAAUCAUAGGGGAUAAAAUGUAAUUUAUCAAACAUAAUAUUAGCUAGCCCUUACAUUGCUAAAGCAAAUGGGUCAAUGGUUGCUCUUGAUUGCCAACAUACAUAUGCGUAGAUCAUCUGCAGUUUGGUUCCUAAUUGCCAGCGUAAACCACAUAUUUUGAUUUUCCAAUAAAUACUGCAAAAAAAAAAAGAGUAACGAGUCCAUCUAUACUACUUGAAGAUAAUUGAUUGUUCACCCAGAUUCGUCAAGUUUUGAAAAAAAAAUCUUUAGAGUGAAUUGAAUCAAAUUCAAAUUUUGUGUUUUGUGAUAAUUCCUAAAAGAGAACGAAAUGCAGAUUUUGAGUGUAAAAAUAUUUUAAGAGGUGAUACAAUCAAGACACAAAAAGAUAAAAACAUCGAAGAUGAUGAAAAAAAUUACUAAUAAAAAAUAAAAACAAAAGAAGAGAAAGCCGUGUUGUCCACAAACUAGACAAAGGGAAGCCACAGCGGCUGCUGCUAGGAAAGAUUAUAUGUUUUCUUCUUCUCUGCCCACAGGUUGCGGUGUCUCCAUUUCCUAUCAUCUGUAUAGUAACCAAUGAGAAUUUCAGGAAUGUGUGCGAUUCUUCUGUAAUCUUCACUUUCUUCCUUCUGAUUCUCUAACAGCUUCUCUCUCAAUUGAGAACUCAUCUCAUACAGAGACAGCCGUUGAAGAUGGAUCAAGUGCUGGAUACCCAAUGGUAACUCCUCUAGUAAUGGAAGUUGCUGCAGAAAUAGUUCCCGGAGACGAGGCAAUGCACCCUCCUCCACUCUCAUCCAUCUCAACCCUUCCAUUCUUUUUAAGUACAUCCACUUCAGCUUUAGGAACCCUCCAGCCUUGAAACACAACCCUUCUCCCUGGUAAGAUCCACGGAAAUUAAUUUUACUCAAAUUGGGCAAAUGUUGGAGGGAUUCAAGCGGAUCCUCCUCUCCCCUUAACCUGCUCCAGUCCAAAUCUAUUCUUACCAAGCCGUGAAGAUGAGCUACCCAUUGUGGCAUUUUUUCUAAGCGGCCACGCAAAACCAGCAUACGAAGAAAUUGAAGAAACAAAGAAGAAGAAGAAGAAGAAGGAUGAUGAUGAUUUAAAUCGAUUAUCUCAUGAUCAUCACCUUUUCCAAUUGAUUGAACACUUAAUUCCCGAAGACUGGUGAGGUUGGCAAGGGAGGAGCAGAGCACCUUUCCAUCUUCUCUUCUUAACUUUGUAAUACGUAGUUCUCUUAAUUGGGUCAGCUUUCCUAUCUCCUUAAGUAUUGCAGAUCCGCUACUUGCAUCUAUGCAGCUUAAUUUAUGUAGGGCAAGAAGCCGUCCCAUAUUUGAUGGAGCUUUAAAUCCAUGAGCUCCAUAAUCAUCAUCUGAAGAAUCAACUAGUUGAUAUACUUCGAGAAACCGAAGUUUUUGCAAGUUUAGAAUUUCCAUGGGCAAUUCCCUAACUCCAGUGUUACCCAAAUUCAGAUACUCCAAAUGUUGAAGCUUUCCAAUGGCUUUCGGGACUAUCUCCAUUCUUGUACCCCAUAGGUCCAGAUGCUUGAGAUGAAACAAAUUGAAAAUCUCAUUUGGUAUUUCCUCCACUCUGUUUUGACCACCGAAAUCCAAAACCUUUAACAGCUUACUACUCCUUGAAAUUUCAGAUAACAACAUUUUGGAUAGUAGCGGGUUCCGGGAUCCAACUGUAACGAACGACCGAAGGUGGUCAAAGCAAUAAUUUCGUCUUUGUUGGUGGUGCUGGGUGUUGUUACUGCUACCACUAUGGACU
This 68759-nucleotide long non-coding RNA is filed under the name Coffea arabica (coffee). RNAcentral describes it as "long non-coding RNA (CARA_LNC005523)". Lineage: Eukaryota; Viridiplantae; Streptophyta; Magnoliopsida; Gentianales; Rubiaceae. The record is from RNAcentral.